Molecule: long non-coding RNA, 45851 nt
Filed under: Citrus maxima (pomelo)
Lineage: Eukaryota; Viridiplantae; Streptophyta; Magnoliopsida; Sapindales; Rutaceae
Description: long non-coding RNA (CMAX_LNC003493)
Source: RNAcentral
UUGAAUUGUACAUAACUUGAACAUUAGGACCAUAGGUCUUGAUGUGAUUCUUGAUAUCCCUAUAGGUCACAAGGCCACCAUUACUCAUAGCUGGUCCUGCUGCUGCUACUCCAAUACCAUUGUCUUCAGGUUUCACAAGCGUCCAUGCAUAGCCGUAGAAAGGCAAACACAAAACCAACUUAUCAGCCAAUAACCCUCUCUAAAUCCAUGCCCUUAAAACCUGAUCAGUACUGUCAAAGAAGCUCAUAAUGCAUGGAAGGAUGCAGCACACGUGUGAGAUGAAUAUAGUCAGCUGAAUCAAUUGAAGAGUGGAGUGCCAGCUCAGCUGAAGUUAGUUAGACACGUUAAGAUCAAGUUUUAGUUAGUUCUUCAUUUUCUGUUAAGCUGAAAAACAGCUGAGUAUAAAUACAAGCAUAUUGUAAUCAUUUUGAGGUUAAGUAAAAAUAAAAUAAAGCAUUUGAUUCCAGAAUUUCUUUUACAAAUUUUCUUAGCACUUUAGAUACAUUUUCUCAGUAACCAAACAGUUUGUUCAUUCAAGCUUUUAAGCUUUCAAACAUGGUAUCAGAGCCUUACAGAGCUAGUUCCAGUAAUCAACAGUCAAGCCUUCGUAAUCAAACAACAAACAACACAAAUCAACCUACUCAAAUCAACUUCUCUUUUUCUAAUCCUAUCAAGCUAGAUCGAUCCAAUUACUUACUCUGGCGUUCUCAAGUUUUGGCCUCAAUAAGAGGCAAUCGUUUGGAAGAUUUCGUCACAAGAGCCAGAUCAGUACCUGAUAAGUGUCUUCUGUUAACUGAAGCAGAUGGAUCUACACAACAAGUUGAAAAUCCAGAAUAUCAGAUCUGGAGAUCACAGGAUCAGACACUUCUUGGCUGGCUACUGUUGUCAUUAAGUGAAGGUAUCUUAAGUCUUGUAAUCAAUUGUGAGAGUUCAUUUGAUAUAUGGAAAACUUUGGAAAAGAAAUUUGGAGUUCAAUCUGAAGCUCGAGUUCUUCAGCUCAGAUACGAACUAAACACUCUUAAAAAGGAAGCCCUUAGUGUUGAAGAUUAUUGUAUUAAAAUGAAAGCAAUAGCAGAUAAGCUGGCCAGUGCUGGUAGUUCAAUUACAGAGAAGGAUCUUAUGCUAACUAUUCUUAAUGGAUUAGGAUCAUGAUAUCGUGAUAUUGCUACAUUUAUAACUGGUUCACGAAUGGAGUUUGAUGAUGCUUAUGCACUGUUACUCACUCAUGAGACUAGAUUAGAGCAGGAGCAAGGUGACAAAAGUAUGUUUAAUGCAAACUAUGCAUACACAAAUGCAUAUUAUCCUAGAGCUUAUUUUGCACAGCCUAGAAGAAGUUUUAAACGAGGAGGUUAUUCUGGUGGUAGAACUCCUUUCUUUGGCAGAGGAAAUAUGAAUUACUCUCCAAGAAUGUUUAAUGGAGGCUUUAGAAAUGGAUAUGGCAGAGGAUUUUUUCCUGGAAAUAACUCAACUGAUUUCAAUCAUUUUCCAGCUCCUAGGAAUCCAGUACCUAGGAACUCAUCUUUUCCAGCUAGAAAUGGAUCUGCUAACAUGAGUGGAUCACAAGGAAGUUUUAAUAAUGCUGGAGAGAUGACAUGUCAGAUUUGUUUUAAGAAUGGCCAUACUGCUGAUGUCUGUUGGCACAGAUUUGUUGAAGAUUUUGUACCUGUUCCAAGAGGUUUUGGCAAGGGAAGAACACCAAGAGCAGCAUAUUUAUCAAACUUUGAUGGCUCCAUUUCUAAUCCAGAUUUUGGCUAUGAAAAUCUUAAUACUAUGUUUCCAGGUUAUGACUCUAUAUCUGGCAAUAGCUACUAUUCUGGAAUGGAUGGAUACACUUCUGGAGCAGCUAGAACAGCUUUCAUGGCAAAUUUUGAAGGGACUGCUGAUGAUGGAUGGUAUCUGGAUAGUGGGGCAACUCACCAUUUAACCAACAAUAUGGAGAAUUUGCAGAUCAAUGAAGAGUUUAAAGGUACUGAUUAGCUUAUCAUUGGAAAUGGUCAAGGUUUGUCUAUUACUCAUGUUGGACAUGCAUUUCUGGUAUUAAGAGCUUCUAAACCCUUAUCUACACAUGCUAGAAUAAAACUUAAAGAUAUGUUACUUGUCCCUUCAAUUACCAAAAAUCUAUUAAGUAUUUCUAAACUCACAUCUGAUAACCCUUUAUCUGUUGAAUUCUGUGGAAAUGCUUGUUUUGUGAAGGACAUGAAGGGUCAAGUUCUUCUGCAGGGUAUUGCUGAAAAAGGCCUUUACAAGCUGCUGCUGAACUCAAAUUCUCUUUCUUCAUCACCUACAUCUUAUCUUUGUAAAUCCCAGCCAAAUAAACUAGUCUCUAUGUUGUCUGCUUUCAAACACUCUGAUAAUGGUACUCGAGCUUGUUUUCAGUUUGUUUUAAAUAAGUGUAAUGCCAAACCUAAUGUAAUAACUUUGUUACAUAGAAAGUUUGGUCAUCCAAGCUCAAUGACAUUGAUGCAUUUGCUCAAAUCAUGUAAACAGUUUAAAGUCUCUCCAAAAGACAUGUUAUCUUCUGCAAGUACUUUAUGUGAAGCAUGUCAGCUAGGCAAAGUCCAUAAGCAACAUUUCUCAAUAACCGAAACAAAAACAAAAGAGGUAUUAGAAUUGAUCCAUACUGAUCUUUGGGGGCCUUCACCCACUGUGUCUAGAGAUGGAUACAAAUAUUACAUUAGUUUUGUGGAUGAUUACACUAGGUACUCUUGGAUCUAUCCUCUUAAGCUCAAAUCACAAGCAUUUGAAGUUUUCAAAUUGUGCAAAACUCAAGUUGAAAAUCAGUUUGAUACCAAAAUUAAGAUGCUACAAUCUGACCUUAGGGGAGAGUUUAGAGCAUUUACUGAUUUUCUCAAUCAAAAUGGAAUAAUCUUUAGGCACUCAUGUCCUUACAUCCAUCACCAGAAUGGUCUUGUUGAGAGGAAGCACAGGCAUAUAGUUGAACUAGGAUUAACCCUCAUGGCUCAAGCAAAUCUUCCUCUUCAAUUCUGGUGGGAAGCUGUUCAUACAGCAGUGUAUCAUAUUAAUAGAUUGCCUACCCCUGUUCUGAAAUUCUUAUCUCCUUAUGAGAAACUUUUCAAACACAAACCAGAUUACACAUUUCUAAAGUGUUUUGGUUGUCUUUGUUAUCCAUACUUGAGAGACUUUAACAAACAUAAGUUUGAUUUUCACACUUCUAAAUGCAUUUUUAUUAGAUACAAUCCCUCUUAUAAAGGAUACAAAUGCUUAGCAAGUUUUGGUAAAGUCUAUGUUCUUAGACAUGUCAUUUUUUAUGAAACACAUUCCCUUAUCCAAUAAACAUUGCAUUCUCAACAGAAAAUCACAUAUCUUCUAAAACCUCAGUGUCUAAUUUCUCUCAGCAACAUAUCUAUCAUCUUUCUACAAUAGCCUUACUCAACAGCAGCUUUGAAGGUCUUCAGUCAGCAAGCUCAGCAAGAAAUGAACAAAUGCCCUUUGGUCCCACACAUACAGAUGUUUUGAAUCAACAAGAACAUCCAUCACACACAUCCUUAGAGUUAUCAUCCUCAACCUCACCAUCACCAAACACAUUACUAAUGCAAUCAUCCAUUCUACAACCAGAGGAAACUUCUUCACAGAAUAUAGACCAAAUUCAAACCAGAAAUCAUUCCCAACCAUCUUCUCAUCCAAUGAUUACCAGAUCGAAAUCUGGAAUCUUCAAACCAAAGGUCUAUACAGUCACCUUAGCCAACAAAGAACCCAGUACAGUUCAAGAAGCUCUUAGUAGUCAGAAUUGGCAUCAAGCCAUGGUAGAUGAGUAUGAAGCUUUGAUGAAGAAUAAGACUUGGUCACUGGUACCAUUUUCAAAUGCAUACAAAGUAGUUGACAACAAAUGGGUGUUUAGACUCAAGCAAAAUACUGAUGGAAGCAUAGCCAAACACAAGGCCAGAUUGGUUGCCAAAGGUUUUCAGCAAACUGAAGGUGUGGAUUACUUUGAGACAUUUAGCCCAGUUGUAAAAGCUUCAACAGUGAGGAUUGUUUUGAGUUUAGCUGUGAUGCAUAAAUGGAAAAUAAGGCAAGUGGAUGUGAAUAAUGCCUUUUUGAAUGGAGAAUUGACAGAGGAUGUCUAUAUGUAUCAGCCUGAAGGUUUUAUUGAUCAACAAAAACCUAAUCAUGUAUGCAAGCUGAAGAAGGCCUUGUAUGGCUUAAAGCAAGCUCCUAGAGCUUGGUAUGACAAGCUUAAGAAUUGUCUGAUUGCUAAUUGGAAAUUUCAGAAUUCAAAGGCUGAUACCUCUCUUUUCUUCAAAGAAGUGCAGGGCUCAAUGAUACUCAUCUUAAUCUAUGUAGAUGACAUUCUAAUGACAGGACCUGACAAUGGUGAACUGGAGAAAUUCAUCUCAAAAUUCAGUAAGACUUUUGCUUUAAAAGACUUGGGAAUUCUGUCAUAUUUUCUAGGAAUAGAAGUGUCCUAUGCUGAAGAUUGCAUCUAUCUAUCUCAGAAGAAAUAUAUCUUGGAUUUGUUAUCCAAAGCUAAUAUGCAAAAUUGUAAAGGCUGUGACACUCCCAUAGUUACUGGAUCAAAGCUUCAGAAAGAAGUCACAGGCUGUUUGGGUCAAUAUAUUGAGGAUGCAACAAGCUAUAGAAGCUUAGUUGGAGGUUUACAAUAUCUAGUAUUAACCAUACCAGAGAUAGCAUUUGCUGUGCAUAAGUUGAGCCAGUAUGUGACAGCUCCAACACUCCAGCAUGUUAUGGCUUGUAAAAGAGUUCUUAGAUACCUCAAGGAGACUGCAGAUUAUGGUUUGAAGUUUUCAGCAGGUGGGGAAAUGAAGAUCACAGGAUUUACAGAUGCAGAUUGGGCAUGUGAUGUUGAUGACAGAAAAUCAAUAGGAGCCUAUUGCAUUUAUUUUGGAAGCAAUCUAAUUUCCUGGUCAUCCAAGAAGCAGGCUGUGGUUACACGAUCCAGUGCAGAGAGUGAAUAUCGUGCUCUUGCUUCUGCAAGUGCAGAGAUAACAUGGAUCCAGUCGUUAUUCAAUGAACUUAGCAUUAAGUGUACUUCAUUACCAACUAUCUGGUGUGACAAUAUAAGUGCAACAGAGUUGGCCAAGAAUCCAGUUUAUCAUUCAAGGACUAAACACAUUGAACUGGAUAUGCACUUUAUUAGAGACAAGGUUUUGGCAAAGGAGUUAGAGAUUAACUAUAUUCCCAGCGAGGAGCAAAUUGCUGAUGCUUUGACAAAGCCUCUGACAUUUAUUCAUUUCAACUAUUUCAGAGCCAAACUCAAUGUGCAACCAUGCCCCUUGAGUUUGAGGGGGACUGUCAAGGAAGCUCAUAAUGCAUGGAAGGAUGCAGCACACGUGUGAGAUGAAUAUAGUCAGCUGAAUCAAUUGAAGAGUGGAGUGCCAGCUCAGCUGAAGUUAGUUAGACACGUUAAGAUCAAGUUUUAGUUAGUUCUUCAUUUUCUGUUAAGCUGAAAAACAGCUGAGUAUAAAUACAAGCAUAUUGUAAUCAUUUUGAAGUUAAGUAAAAAUAAAAUAAAGCAUUUGAUUCCAGAAGUUCUUUUACAAAUUUUCUUAGCACUUUAGAUACAUUUUCUCAGUAACCAAACAGUCUGUUCAUUCAAGCUUUUAAGCUUUCAAACAAGUACUUCUAGCAUAGCCGCCGCUACUUGAGCCAUACAGAGCCGCAUGUGCCUCGGUGAAGUUUGUUGACAUAGGCUCGUAGUAUUCAGCUGUAACAACAUGAACCUAAUUCAAGUUUCGUUGCAUCGAUUUCAAAAGGUACGAAUUGUCUGGUGGUAAAUAACGAAAUCUUGCGGUCAGGAUCAGCUGGGAUUGCUGGCGGCCAGAGUUUUUUGCCUCUAAUUGUGUAGCAGCUCGGCACUCGUCAAAGAAUAAACCCGUAUUGGACAUAUCGGUGCUCGUGUUCGGAGCUUUCCAAGCAAAGUCUAGGCCCUGAAAGCCAUAAAGCCUAGCUAUUCUUAUUGAAGAGUCGAUGAAAGAUUUCCUGUGAGAAGAAUUUCUCACCAUUGAAGAAUAUAUAGAAUAGUUUGUAUAUCUUCCUUGUCUAAUGGAGAGAAGUGUAGUGGUUGAUGGGUUCUUUUGUUUCACAGUGCCUGUAAAUUUGGGGAAUAUUUGAUUUCCAUCAAACGGUGAUGAUAAAGAUAGCUGGUAAGUGGUGGAAUUGAUAUCAGCGUAAGAGCAGAUAAGGUGAGUGAAGAGAUCAUAAUUUAUGCCCGAAAUGGUGGACACUUCGCUUGGAUCCAAGUAGCCGACCCUGAUCCACGGUUUUGCUUUCGCGGGAUGAAAUUCUGAAUAGAACAACAUGUGGAAGAUGAUGCUGAUAAUUAUGGAUGCCAUUUGAGAGGCUUAUGCUUCUUAAUUACCACUUCGAUGGGAAUGGAAAUGAAUGCACACUAAUAGAAAUUAAAUAAACACAAGUUUCACAGUUCAUUAAGCUCUCAUGUGUACUAUUAACGUAUAGGUUCAUUUCGUUGCCCAAAAAAAUCUUAUGUGCUCCUGAUAGGGACACAUACAUUGGAUGAUAAGAUGAUGAUAGGCGAUGCGACCAUUGCCCAAGAACUAAGAUUUUCUUCUAUCGCGUGGGUGACUUUUCAUGAAGAAAAAUGAUGUUUUGAUUGACAUAUGGUUAAACCGAUGCCAUAUUUCGGGCUACAAAUAUCAGUAUUGUUUUAUUAAAUAAUUAAAAAAAUUAAUUUUACGUGCAUGUUGAAGGUAAUAUUGCAGUCUUUUGAGCCUGUGUUGAAUUUCAUUCGUGUGCGUUCAUUUAUUAUCUAUCCUCUUUUUUCUCUGUGUGUCUGCUAGCUCUAGUCAUCUUAAAAGAAUAACAUGUUUAAUUAAUGCAUGUAAAUGCACCGCAAAAGUAGUUAAGAAAGACUUGAUCAAAGAUCAGACAUUUUCUCUCUACUCAAAAAGUAGUUAUUGGACUAAUUAAGAUUCUAAUCCCUUUAAGAAAUAUUGAAAAAGGGUUACUGUCACUACUUCAGUCCUUGUUGUUACAUAUAUAUAUAUAUAUAUAUAUAUAUAUAAAUUUAAAGAAGCAUCACAUAAAUCCUUCCUAAUUAUAUUUUGUUUCAUUCAAGUUGUUGACUUAAUUUGUCUGCUUGGAAAAAUUAGUAAAAAGGUAAAAAUAAAAAAAUGUAAAUUCUACUUAUUAGACUAAAUAUAUAGUAUAAAUUUGCAGCAACCAGCAAAAGUUUGGAAUAUGAAAAAUCCUAUUAAUUUUUAAAAAAUCUCCGAAAGUUUGAAAACUAAUAUUUUAAGGUCCUUUUACAAUAACCAUAAUUAACAUGAAUUUACUAAAUUAGGCAAACCCGAAUUACUACCAUAUAAUAAAAUUUUAUAACAGAAAUAAGAAAACAAAACAAAUAGCAUCAAAUCUUAUAUCUAAAAAAAAAUCUUGAAAUAAAUAGAAAAAAUAAGAAAAUAACUAAAACUUGCAAAAUGACCAUGAAAGAAAUGAAAUUUCCGACUGAACCAAAGGGCCAAUACACAUAGCAUUAUUGGACUAGAUCUAUCAUGGUGCAAACUUCAAAACAGUAUAUUAUAUUUUCUAAAUGGACACAUAUAGGUUAAGUUAUGAUAUUAAAAAAUAUCCUAUUCAUCUUACACAACCAUUCUAUGUCACUAUAUCUAUACACUAAUAAUAUAACCCAAACAUUUAUGGAGCAUAACUCACAGACCUCCACUAAUUACACUAAAGUUUACUCUCAUUUUAUAAGAGAGAGAAAUGUUCUCGUUCUCCAUUUAUGGGGGAUUAAACCAAAUGGUCUGUUUUUGAUUUUCUGGUAAGUUGUGUAACGUUGGAGCUUUUUGGCACUUCUUUGACGAAAAGUCGUUCUCUUCGACAACCCAAAAUUCGGGCCAAUGGGCAAUUAUGAAAGUCCAUUGGAUGCAUUGGACCAAACUAAAAGUCCAUAUAUAUAUGUAUAUAUAUAUAUAUAUUCAAUAAAUGAAAUGAAAAAAUGCAAUUGGCUUGCAGUUGCAAAGCUUCUUUGUUUAUUAUUAUAUAAUAUAAUAUAAUAUAAUUUUAUAUCAUUUUGAAUAUCAAAAUUUUAUUUCAAAAUUUAUUUAACACUAGUGUUUAAUAUAAGAUACAAUACUACCAAAAUUCUAUUCAAUAGUUUAUUUAAAAUAGUAUUGACUAUUAAAAAUAAGAAUUUACACUAAUAUUAAAUAUUAAAUUCAACAAUUAGUAACAUUAUUUAAAAUAAUUAUAGUAUUUAAAUGGUUAUUUAUCUUUAUUAAAUAAGAUUUAACAUAAUCCUCUGCGACAUUUUACUAAAUAAAUACAGUACUAUAUAUAAUCCAAUCUAAUCUUAAACAAUAAUCUAUUCUAUUCCUACCUUCCAAAUAUAAACACAAUAGAUAAUGAGAGCAUGAGCUAUGAGAUUAUAAAUCAUGGAUCAAGGGAGUAGAGAUACAGACCUUGAGAUCAUAGAUCGUAGACUAUUAGAGACUAAAGACCGUGGACAAAUCCGAGUACAUUAAAAAAAGGGGAAUUUUAGUCAAAUGUAGAUUGAUAUUAAGGAAUUCAGCAAGCAAGCUACAAGAAUAUCCAAAAGCGUGUAAUUUAUGUUUAAGGAAACAAGUGGAGAUAGAGAUGAAAUUGUAAAUUCAUCCCAAUCUUAAGUGGCUUAAUUCAAGAUGUAUGUUACCUACAAGCACAAUAAUAUGUACACGUUAUGUAUACAUGCAUCACAUACGUGCGUCGAUCAUCGAUGUAAAAGUAACAGUAAAUUUCUAGUAAAACAAACAUCAUUACUUUUAGUAUAAGAUGUAAAAAAUAUCAAUUAAUAACCAUUAGAAAAUAAAAAUUUAUGUAAUUGAUGCAGAUAAAUGGAAUCAAGUAGUAACAUUUCCUUCUCAUUGAAGAGAAAAGAUUAAAAAAAAGAAAAGGGGGGGGGGGGGGGGGGGGGAGGAGCGCAAACAUGACAAUUAUUUUUAUCCGCACGUGCCAUGAUAAUCGAUAAUCCGAUAUACCAACCGCGUCUAAUUGUCUGAAUUCUCAAGCUUAUCAAGCUUGCUCAAUCGCACCGCAGACACUGACCAUGGGAGAUUAAUCACCACUCGCAGUAUUAGGCGCGUGAAGGACACAUUCGCCAAUAAUUUAUAGCGGACAGUAGCAUUCCCGAUGCUGCGCGGAGAAAAAUAGUUGGGCUUGCGAAAGUUAAAUUGACUUGACUCGACAGAGUGAAGAAUGGUGGUGGUUGCUGUUAAGCAGUCGGUACUUCUGGCGACUGCUUGGCUUACACGCAGUUCCCGGGGGUGUCAUUUGACUGUGAAAGAGAAUUUUGGCUUUAUUGAUAUCUUGUUGGAUUUGGAAUUUUGGAUGGCUUCGUGUAGACCAUAAGACACGAUAUCGUUCAUAACACGUUAGCAUUCUUUCUCACGGGAGAAAAACUCGGGUGGGAGCAGAUGUACCAUCUCAACUGCCGUUUAUAAAUGGCUGUCAAAUAAUUAAUCAAAAUUUUAUUAUUUACGGUUAUAAUUGGAAUGAUAAAAAAUCAAUUCGAUGUUAUUCUUUGUGGCUCUGCUUAGAAUACUAAAAAAUCAAAUCGACUUAUUUAUUUUUAUAUUGAUCAUUACAAGUCUCUUGAAUUUUUUACCUACUUCAUUAACUUGUUAUUUUGAGUUGUACGUAACAUGGCUUUUUUUGUUUUUUACUUUACUUUGGUUUUCUUUAUAACCCAUAAAAAUUUUCUUGUUAAGACUGUGUGAACCAAUUGAAACUUCAGAUUCAUACUAGAACUAUGAUGAUUUGAUAAGAGCUUCAAAUUAAAUCCACAGAUUCUAUGAAAAGAAAAGAAAAGAAAAAGUCUUUUAUUGGUAAAAGAAGAAAGCUCUUCGGCACUGAUCCGAAGAAAAAUCAUUCUCCAUACAAUGAGCAAAACAAAGUCCAAUUCGCAUUACAUAGAAGUAAAACCGAAGCAUUGGACUAAAAGCAUACAUUAGUCUUAUUUUUCGUUACUGAUAACAUUUUUUUUCCCUUAUAUUAUCACCUUAAUUAAGAAAAAUAAUAAUUUGUUUAACUAAUUACAAAAAAGGAUGGCUAUAUACAAUAUUCUUGUGUUGGAUGGCCUUAAAAGUCAAUUCUUUUGAAACAGGAAAACUGGUAUCGUUUUUCAAAACACAAAAAUAUUAUGUUAAGAAAAUGAAUGGUCUUUAAGAGUUAUGACAAUGAUAUCAAUAAAAUUACAAAAUCUUAAGAGUUUAUAGAUGUAGUUAGUGAUAUUACAUUACAUUAAUUAAUACAAUGCAAAUUGUUUACUAAUAGAGCCUCAGGAGAGUGAUUCAUUAUUUAGUUGGCCAAUUAAACAACUGCAGCAGUCACUAGCAGCUUGCCAAGAGCUAGCAUAGAUCAAUUGUUCAUCUACCAACCAAUUUUGAAAUUGUUACAUCAUUACUUGAACAUAUUUCCAAUCCAAUCGUGGCUUUGUUUUGUUCAUCUUCAUAAGCUUUGUUUGAGAAACUUGCAGGCUUCUUUGGAGUCAUUAUAUCAGCUGUAUUUUCAUUUUCGAUCAACGAAGAAAUUUCUAGUAUAGAAGGUCUAUUGUUUGGGUUCUCCUGAACACAUAGCAAAGCUACUUGCAGACAUGUCAAUAAUUUCCAUGAGGAAUGCGUAUCAUCUAGUGAUGGAUCCAUUAACUCCGUGCCUUUCCCAUCCUUCCACAACUCGUAUGCCUGAAAACAUCAAAUAUGUUAUUGACUAACAUUCAAUUAAUUAGCACUGUAAUGUUUUGAUUCAGUGAAUAUUAAAAAGGGGGUUAUGAAGAAACUUACAUACUCUACAAGGCUUAGAUUUUCAUUUUGACCAUAUCGAAUGAAAAGUCUUCGCCCACUUAUAAUUUGCAGAAGCAAAACCCCAAAACUGUAGACAUCAGAUUUAGUGGAGUAGAUGCCUCUUCCGACAUAUUCAGGAGGGAUAUAGCCUCUGUAGUAUCAAGUAAUUAUAAAUGUCAGUGUUUGACAUAAAAGAUUAAGUUGAUUGGUAAAGGUUCAACAAUAAUAUUAAAGGCAUGUCAGACAAUAAUAGACAAAUAUACACUUACUGUGUUCCAACAAUUCGAUUUGUGUUUGCUUCAAGAUCAUCUUUCACAAAAAUUCUAGCCAAGCCAAAAUAUGAUAUUUUAGGUGUCAAAUCUUCAUCCAACAAAAUAUUACUAACUUUUAAGUCUCGAUGAAUAAUUGUUAAUCUAGAAUAUUCUUGGAGAUAGAGAAGCCCCUGAAUAAUUCCUUAAAUGAUAUAAAUACGUUUUUUCAAAUCCAAAAUAAGCCUUCGGAUGGGAUCUGCAUCAAAUGUAAACUUAGUUGGACGGUCAGCACCAUUAGCAUUUGGAGACAGAGAAAUGCAAAUUGAGGCACAAAAAUUAGAAAUUAAGCAGUUAAGCACACACCAAAAAGGAAAUAGUCUAAGCUUCGUUUUGGCAUAUACUCAUAGAUGAGCAUAUAUUCUUGCGUGUCGAUGCAAAAACCCAAAACUCUGAUCAAAUUUAUGUGUUGAAGCUUUGCAGUAAGCAUAACCUCAUUCUUGAACUCCUCAAAUCCUUGUGUGGAUGUCUUCGAGAGUUUCUUCACUACUAUUAUUUGUCCAUCAGGUAAUGCACCCUGCAAGCACCCCCCAAAAUAUAUGUUUUUUUAAAAAUCAGUGUGUUCACACACACACACACGUAGCUUGCACUAAUUAAUUAAUAAGCUAAGAGAUAACCAAGCUACCGAUACAUAACCUUGUAAACAGGACCAUAUCCACCCUCCCCGAGCUUAUUUUCGAUUGAAAAUCUAUCCGUGGCCACCUCAAUAUCAGCCAAGCUAUAUUCUCUCAGAUCAGGAUCAUUGCUGUUAAAAUCUCCAGCAUCUGCUUGACUAUUUUCGCUGUCCUUUGAUGCUUUGGCUGAGUCAAUUACGGUCCAAUUAAUAUCAACCAAGAGAAAGAAAGCUAAUUUAAGUGAAUUGCCCACUUCUUCAUCUGUGUUAAAUGGAAUAGAAGUAAAAAUAUUCCUAAUCCCGUGUAGAAGAAGUUACCUUUUAAUUUGAGGUUUUUCAUCCAGCAGUAGUAAUACAGUAAAAAACCAAUUAGAAGAAUACAAGCUGCCGUUAUAGGGAAAACAAUUGCCCAUAAUAGUCGCUUAUUUUGUCGAUUCUUAUUUUCCUCUUGAGCUGAAAAGUCAAAUCACUUUGUGUUAGUUAAACAUUUGAUGGUCAAAUAAAGAUCUUAAUUGAAGUCAUUAUGCAGAGAACUGAUCAAAUGGAUAGCAGGCAGUGACUGAGGCUUUGCAUUUGCUUACCUGCAGCUUGAGAAAGCAUCCAAUAAUGAUCAUAGGAAACUAGCCACACAAAGUAACCACGUAGUUUCUUCUCCUUGGCAUAUGAAACCUUCACUCUAACGGCUUCGACAUCAUCAAAACCAAACCAAAUCUUCCCAAUCGAGAAGUAAUUCAUCACAUAAGUUGAAUUGUACAUAACUUGAACGUUAGGACCAUAGUGCUUGAUGCGAUUCUUGAUUUCCUUAUAAGUCACAAGGCCGCUAGAAUACAAAGCUGGUCCUGUUGCUGCUGCACCAAUACCGUUGUCCUCAGGUUUCACAAGCGUCCAUGCAUAGCCAUAGAAAGGUAAACAUAAAACCAAUUUAUCAGCCGAUAACCCUUCCUCAAUCCAUUCCGUGAUUCCGUAUUCAGUAUUGGAGAUACUAUUUGGAUCAUACAGAGCCGCGUGAGCACCAGUAAAAUUUGACCACAUAGGUUUUGUGUAUUCAGUAGUCAAAACAUGAACCCAAUUCAAGUAUUGACUUAUCGAGUCGACUGGGUAAGCUCCUGCUCUUGAGAAUGGUGAAUAUGCGACCAUUGCCGUCAAAAUCAACUGUGAUUGGCUCGAGUUAUUUCUUGCUUCUAAAUCUACGGCUGCUCGCCACUCUUUAAAGAGAAUGCCAAUAUUGUACUUAUCCCAGCUUGUGUUUGCCUGAGGCCAAGAGAGAUCUAAGCCUUGAAAGCCAUAAAGUCUUCCUAUUUUUAUUGAGGAGUCAAUGAAGGAUUUCCUAGAAGAAGGAUUGCUCGCCAUGGAAGAAUAAGUUGAAUAGUUUGCAUCAUUUCCUCCGAUGGAAAGAAGUGUAGUGAUUGAUGGGUUCUUUAUUUUGACAGUGUCAGUGAAGUUAGAGAAUUGUUUUUCAUCAGAAGGUGAUAAAGAAAGCUCAUAGGAAGUUGAAUUCGUUGAAACAAAAACAAACGUUAUGCCUUUGAUCGUGCAUUUCCAAAUAAACACAUAUUUUAGGUAAUUCCGAAAUUUACCACGAUCUCCCAUGAAUCCGAACUUGCAGCUUGUUAUGGAGCUUCAACAGAGUUGCUGCUGCUUCGGUCUAGCUUCUGAAUUCCGCUUUCUUUUCCUUCAGCUCCAGAUUCGGCUUUUCUCAGUAAGUUACUGUACACACACGGGAGAGAAACGGGAGAGAGAGAGAUGCACUGCACUCAUGCCAGAGAUUUCUUGAACAGUCAACUUCCAAUGGGCUGAAGUUACUUAAAUACAGUGGUUGAGCGCAGGGAACCCUCAUGUGUUAGUACAAAAUUACCCAUCCCAUUAUGGGCUUAAAUAACACAAUUAAGGAUAUACUUGUCCAUAAUAUACUACUGUACAGGGUAUGUCAAAAUUAGACUCAUUAACACCAUAUUUGAUCACUUAAUAAAUGAGUCUGUCAAAAUUGCUCAACAAUAUUUGACUUUAGUCACGUAUUAAUUCGGUAAAAUAUAGAAAAUAAUUAGAAUGAUUUAUGUCAGUCCACAUAAUGUGAGAAAUAAAUCUAACAGAAUUGACAUUAGCAAAACCACAUAUAAGGUGAGUGAAAAGAGCAGAAUUUACAUCUGAAACGGGGAACCCGUUGCCUGAAUCCCAGUAACCAGCUCUGAUUAAAGUUUGUGUUCCUGCAGGAAGCGAUUCUGAAAAUAUAAAAAUGUGGAGGACAAGAAUGAUAAUUUUGGAUGCCAUUGUGGGAACCUAGCUGCUUUGAGGCAUACCUAGUAAGUGAUUACAUAUAUAUGUACACACACAAUGUAAUGGAGAAAAUAUCCGAUAGCGAUUGAGAUUAGUUAUUGGACUAUAAUACAAACCUGAGGCAACUUUCAGCUCAUGAGCUUAUCUCAUAGGUCUUUAUACGAUAUCAAAGUCAAGUUACGAACGAGUGAUUCUAUACUACCUUUUAAUUUAACAAGGAGAAAGAUAAGAGAUCAACCUACACGUGACAGGGUGAUAGAAAAAAUUUAUCACAUUAGCUAAGAUUAAUUACUAUGUUAAUGAUAUAAGCUCAAAACAACACUCAACUCAAUAACAAGUUGUAAUUUAAUAAAGUUAGGUCAACUCGAUAUUUUAUAGAGUAUGUCGUGAGUGAGGAGGAGUUUAAGCAACAAAUCGAGCUCAUGAGUGAGGACACGUUUGAUUUUCACAAGAUUUUGCGUUUUGUGCACGUUGGUCAUGGACUGAAUCAACUUAGAAAAUAUUUUCACAAGAUUUUGCCUUCCAAUUGCAUGGAUGGAGUUAUAGAGGAAUACAUCGAAAAGUUCGUCUUCUUGCCAUGAUGAUAAGUGAAAAGAUUGAGGUUCUUAAAUUAAGCUAUGACCUUUUACCUCCACUUAGCUUGACUUUUGAAGCUGAAGACUCGUUCUUUUGUAUUGACUUUGUUGGUAUUUAAAUGACCUCGGAGUCUUGGACGUGUUUCUGAAGCAAUGUCAUGGUCUAUGAGUAGAUUUUUUUUUUUGGGUAAGAAAGGGAAAGUCUGUCGUUGGGAAAACAUCCUGACAACGGGAUGGUGGGAGGGAAAAAAAAAAAAAAAUUAUACACUUAGGGUCUGUUUGGAAAAAUGAUUAUAGGGUAUUAUAAUACUAUUCAUAUUGACUUAAUAUCAAUACUAUUCACAUCGAGUUUAGCUUAAUGUGGUAGUUGCCGCAUUAACGUUUUGCUUUUGUUUUUUUUUUUUUACUUUUGCUUUUUAAUAAUAAUAAAUAAUUAUAACUUUUUAAUUUAAUAUAUUAUUAUAUAAUAUCAAUUAUUAUUUUUUAUUUUUACCUCAAAAUUAUUAAAAUAAAUUAAUAAUUUUAUAAUUUAUUAUUCAUAUUUUAAUUUUUAUUAUAUUAAAAAUAUAACUAAAUAAUGUAUUAUUUAAUUAUAUAAUAAUUAAUAUAUAAAAUUAAUUAAUAUUUAAUAAGUUAAUAUAACUAACAAUAAGUACUUAAAUAAUAUAUAAAAAUUGAUUAUUAUUUAGAAAUUUAAUAUAACUAACAAUAAAUAUUUAUAUAUGAAUAAAUUUAAAUAAUAUUAAUUUAAAAUUAAUAUCAACAAAAAUAAUAACGUAAAAUAUCAUUAUGUUAUGAUAUUAUUUAGAGAUUAUUUGAUUAAAUUAUUUACUUCGAUCUUUAUUUCACAUGUUAUAUAUUUAGAAAAUACUGAAAAAUAAAUGUUAUGCUGCCGAAAAUAUAAGGCUAUAAGUUUCGAUCUUUACAAAAAAUUGUGAUGCUUUUUAACAUUUAUACUAAAAAAUAAUGUUAAAUUUCUAAAAUUUAAGACUUAUAUAUUUAGUAGUUUUCUAGGUACUAUAAAUAUUAUUUCCUAAAUAUAUAAUUUAAGUUAAUCACAAAAAAUUAAUACAAUAUAGUGUAGCAUCAAACGUUGUAUAACAUUAUUAUAAUAUAGUGCUAAUACAAUACAGCAUAAUGCAAUACACAUCCAUUAAAAUAAUAUAACAUAGUGUGCUAAACUCACCAUUAAUUACUUCCUAAUGUUAAAAUUCAGUAGUAUUGUAAUUUUAAUAAAAAAUUGAGACCCUUUUAUCAUUUAGAUGUAAUAUACUUACAUUGUUCCCACAACUUGUUUUGUAUUCGCUUCGAGACUCUUUUGCAAAAAUCCUAACCAUACCAAAAUCUGAAAUUUUAGGUUUCAUAUCUUGACCUAACAAAAUAUUACUAGCUUUCAAAUCUCGAUGGAUAAUAGUCAGUCUUGAGUAUUCUUUGAGGUAUAAAAACCUUUGAGUCAUCCCUUCAAUGAUAUGAACACGUUUUUUCCAAUCCAAAAUAAACCUUCUGAUGGGAUCUACAACAGAUAUAUAGUUUUAGACAAUAAGUGAUAUGCAAAUGAAUUAUAUACACAAUUAAUAUUAACUUGAUUUCAGAACAAACCAAAAAGGUAGCAAUCCAAGCUUUGUUUGGCAUGUACUCGUAGACUAGCAUUCGUUCCUCACUGUCAAUGCAAAAACCUAAAACUCUAAUAAGAUUUACAUGUUGGAGUUUUGCAGUAAGUAUAAUCUCAUUCUUAAACUCCUCAAAUCCCUGUGUGGAUGCUUUCGAAAGUUUCUUCAUUGCUAUCACCUCUCCGCAGGGUAGUAUACCCUGCAACCAAAAAACAAAUGUUCAUAUAAAGCUUGCACUAAUUAAAUAAGUUGAGAAAUGUUUGCCAAACAAUAUGUUUCCCUCCAAAGUUGAGGGCACCAUUUUAAGUCCUUUAAGUCCCCAUAGACGCAUGAAUCUCCUCUCAGAAAAUAUGGAUAUGGGUAGACAUAUCUUCCUAAAUAUUAGUAGAAGUAGUUAUAUCUCUCUAGUGCGAGGUCAGAGGUCUCAUGUCUAAUAGGUAUAGAUUUUUAAAUUAUAUGUUUUGGGCCUCUGAAUUUUACUCUAAGUGUAUGAAUUCAAAGUUCCGACAGAAUCCAAAUUGUAACAUUUGUGGAUUUUGUGUGUGUGUGUGUGUUAACUUGUAAACAGGACCAUAUCCACCUUCCCCUAGCUUAUUUCUAACUGAAAAUCCCUCGGUGGCCGCCUCAAUAUCAGCCAAACUAUAUACUCUGAGGUUAGGAACAUUUCUGUUAAAGUCUCCAGCUUCUGCUUCAUCAUUUGCUCUCGUGUUUGACGCUUUAGCAGAGUCCUCUGUUCCUAACAUCAACCAAGAGUAAAUAUUAGAUAAUUAAUUAAAUUUCAGUCUCAGUUACAUGUAUAUGAGUGAAAUACAUACUUAAUUAUAAUUAAUAACUGAAACUUGUUACCUUCAAUUAAGUUGAGCCUUUUCAUCCUGUUGUAUUUAUAUGCACAAAAGCCUAGAAGGAGAGUCAAAGCUGCCGCAGCAGUCGAAAUGAGGACCAAGGACAGACGCCGGUUAUUACUAUGUUCAUCUUUGUCAGCUGAAGCAGAAGUAAUCCUGUCUUUUUGUGCUGGAAAUAUGUAUAGUUCACCAAUUAAUAAUAACUAGCUAGAGAUGCCAUAACAAUCAUUAUUAAUCAGAGAGAACAAUUAUUGCAUAGAUAAAUACCUGCAGCUUGAGAAAGCACCCAAUUAUGAUCAUCAUAAUCCACUCGCCACACAUAGUAACCAAGCAAUCUCUUCUCUUUGGCAUAGGCGAUCUUAGCUCUAACAGCCUCCACAUCAUCAAAACCAAACCAAACCGCCCCAGUGGAGAAGUAAUUCACCACAUAAGUUGAAUUGUACAUAACUUGAACAUUAGGAGCAUAGUUCUUGAUGUGAUUCUUGAUAGUCCUAUAGGUCACAAGGCCAUCAUUAGUCAAAGCUGGUCCUGCUGCUGCUGCUCCAAUACCAUUGUCUUCAGGUUUCACAAGCCUCCAUGCAUAGCCAUAGAAAGGCAAAGACAUAGCCAACUUAUCAGCCGAUAGCCCUCUCUCAAUCCAUGCCUUUAAAACCUGAUCGGUACUUUUAGCAAAGCCGCCGCUACUUGAGCCAUGGAGAGCCGCAGGUGGCGCAGUGAAGUUUGUUGACAAAGGCUCGUAGUAGUGUUCAGUAGCAACAUGAACCCAAUUCAAGUUUCGUUGCAUCGAAUUCACAAGGUACGAAUUGUCUGGUGGUGAAUAAUGAAACCUUGCGGUCAGGAUCAGCUGGGAUUGCUGGCGGUUAGAGCUUUUUGCCUCUAAUUUUGUGGCAGCAGCUCGCCACUCGUCGAAAAGUAAACCAAUAUUGAGCAUAUCGGUGCUUGUGUUAGGAGAUGUCCAAGCAAAGUCUAGGCCCUUAAAGCCAUAAAGCCUAGCUAUUCUUAUUGAAGAGUCGAUGAAAGAUUUCCUGUGAGAAGAAUUUCUCACCAUUGAAGAAUAUAUAGAAUAGUUUGUAUUUCUUCCUUGUCCAAUGGAGAGAAGUGCAGUGAUUGAUGGGUUCUUUUGUUUCAUUUGUUUCACAGUGCCUGUAAAUUUGGGGAAUAUUUGAUUUCCAUCAAAUGGUGAUGAUAAAGAUAGCUGGUAUGUGGUGGAAUUGAUAUCAGCAGAAGAGCAAAUAAGGUGAGUGAAGAGAUCAUAAUUUAUGCCCGAAAUGGCGGAAACAUCGCCUGAAUACAAGUAACCGACCCUGAUCCACGGUUUUGCUUUCGCGGGAUGAAAUUCUGAAUAGAAAAACAUGUGGAAGAUGAUGCUGAUAAUUAUGGAUGCCAUUUGAGAGGCUUAAGCUUCUUAAUUAUUACCACUUCGAAGGGAAUGGAAAUGAAUGCACACUAAGAGAAAUUAAAUAAACACAAGUUUCACAGUUCAUUAAGUUCUUAUGUGUACUAUUAACGUAUAGGUUCAUUUCGUUGCCCAAAAAAAAUCUUAUGUACUCCUGAUAGGGACACACACAUUGCAUGUUAAGAUGAUGAUAGGCGAUGCGACCAUUGCCUAAGAACUAAGAUUUUCUUCUAUCGCCUGGGUGACUUUUCAUGAAGAAAAAUAAUGUUUUGAUUGACAUUUGGUUAAACUGAUGACAUAUUUCGGGCUACAAAUAUCAGUAUUGUUUUAUUAAAUAAUAAAAAUAAUAAUUUUACGUGCAUGUUGAAGGUUAUAUUGCAGUCUUUUGAGCCUGUGUUGAAUUUCAUUCGUGUGCGUUCAUUUAUUAUCCAUCCCCUUUUUUCUCUGAGUCUGCUAGCCGUAGUCAUCUUAAAAGGAUAACAUGUUUAAUGCGUGUAAAUGCACCUCAUAAGUAGUUAAGAAAGAUUUGACCAAACCAGAUAAUUUUCCUCUUAACACAGAAGUAGUUAUCGGACUAAUUAAGAUUCUAAUCCAUUUAAGAAAUAUUCAAAAAGGGUUAUUGUCACUACUUUAGUCCUUGUUGUUUUAUUAAAGAAAAAAAAAAGAUAUUUAAAGAAGCAUCACAUAAAUCCUUCCUAAUUACAUUUUGUUUCAUUCAAGUUCUUGACUUAAUUUGACUGCUUGGAAAAAUUAGUAAAAAGGUAAAAAUGAAAAAAAAAAUGUAAAUUCCAGUUAUUAGACUAAAUAUAUAUAAAUUUGCAACAAGUAGCAAAAGUUUAGAAUAUGAAAAACCCUAUUUUGUUUACGAAAUAAAGGAAAUUCGAAUCAUUUUCAAAAAAAAAAUCUCUAAAAGUUUGAAAACUAAGAUUUUAAGGUCCUUCUAGACUAACCAUAAAUAACAUGAAUUUACCAAAUUAAGCAAACUCGAAUUAUUAUUACACAAUAAAAUUUUACUAAUGGAAAUAAGAAAACAAAAUAAAUAACACUCAAAUUCGAUGUCUAAAAAACAAAGAUAAAAAUCAUGAGAGCAAUAGAAAAAAAAUAAAAUAAACUAAAACUUGCAAAAUGACCAUGAAAGAAAUAAAUUUUUUUGCUGAACCAAGGGGCCGAUACAUAUAGCCUUAUUGUACUAGAUUCAUCUCACUGCAAGUUUCAAAACAAUAUAUUAUAUGUCUUAAACAAACUCUUGUAAAUUAAGUUAUGACCUUAAAAAAUAUCCUACUCAUCUUACAUAAAUAUCCUAUGUCACUAUAUAGCUAUACAAUAAUAAUAUAAUCCAAACACUUAUGGAGCAUAACUCACGCACCUCCAUUAAUAACCGUGAAAUUUACUCACAUUUUAUAAGAGAGAGGAAUGUUCUCAUUUAUUGGGGAUUAAACCAAAUAGUCUAUCUUCGAUAUUUCUGCUAGGUUGUGUCAGGUUGGGCUUUUUAGAAUUUCUUUGACGAAAAGUCAUUCUCUUCAACAGCCAAAUCUUGGGCCAGUGGGCAAUUAUGAAAGUCCAUUGGAUGCAUUGGACCAAACUAAACGUACAAUUUUUUUUUUCUUACAAAAAAAAAAUUAGAGUUGGACUAUUGACACCCCUCUCAUCUCCUCAUAAAACCCCCUUUUUAGUUAUAUUUAUUUUAUUUUAGAAAAUGCCCUUUUUUAGAUACACGUUUCUAAGUUUUUAAUUUUCAUUUGAUUUGUUUUAUUGUUAAAACUCAAAGUAUUAUUGUGUUAUUUUUUAAUUAUUUUCAAUUUUAUUAUUAAUCUACAUACAAAUUAAAAAUUUAUAUGGGUGAUAAGUUUUUUAGUGUUAAUCAUUGGUUGAAAUAACACAUAUUUCAAAUUAUAAUUUCAAAGCAAUUUUAAGUAUAAAAAUAUUUAAUCAAUAAGAAAUCAAAAGAGAAUAAUAGAUUAUUCUAAAUUUGUACAAUUUAUUUUAGUUAAAUAGGAAGUAAAAUAUAAAUUUUUUUAAAAAAUGAUUGAUUAUGAAUUAAGUAAUUUGCUGGGAAAAAAAAUCUAUAUAUGUUUAAUUUUCAAUUGUCUUUAAUUGUAAUUUUAUUUAAAGUGGUGUUUUGUAAGAAUAAUGUAGGGGUGCCAAUAGCUCCACUCAAAAAAUUAUAUCUAUAUAUUCUCUUCAACAACCUAAAACUGGGCCAAUGGGCAAUUAUGAAGUCCAUUGGAUGUAUUGCACCAAACUAAAAGUCCAAUUUUUUUUAUUACUACAAUAUAUAUAUAUAUAUAUAGUAGUUUUCUAAUUAGGGAUUCCUGACUUUAAUAAAGUCAUGGAUCAGCUAAAAGACAAAUAUACAGUGCAUUGGAGUCUGUGUUUAUUUUGUCUUUUAGCUAAUUCCUGAUUUUAUUAAAGUCAGGGAUCCCUGAUUGGAAAACUACUAUAUAUAUAUAUAAACAAAUGUUUUAAUUUAGAAUUUUAAAGUGCGGGAUAGUAUAUAUAUAUAUAUAUAUAAACAAAUGUUUUAAUUUAGAAUUUUAAAGUGCGGGAUAGUCUGGAAUAUGCAGUUUUAAAAACUUAAAACUGUAAGCCUUUAAAACCAUACAAUUUUAAAUUUUUCUCAAAUUUUCUCGUACUUUAAAAUUUCAUACUAAAAAACUACUACAUAUAUCAAUAAAUGAAAUGACACAAUACAGUUGGCUUGCCGUUGCAAAGCCUCUUUGUUUGUUAUUAUUUAUUGGCUUAUUGCAAUAAAGACUAAAGAGAGCUUUGAGCCAUGCAGCAUGGGAAGCUACAUUAAAAAAUAAAAGAAUUUAAAGCUUCAAGGGCAUAAAGCGUGCCCACCCAAUUAAAUUUUUCUUUAAAAAAGAAAAAAAAAGGCUGCAAUUGCAAUGACUUGAAUUUAUCAUCAAUUCUGGCUUAAUUUGCCCCCGUCAUUUUUUCAAGGAGAAUGUCCAACUCAAUUGUGACGGCUACUGCUUCAAUUUUAAUUUUAUUUUUCUCAAGAAUAGUCAUUUUCAUCCACCAUAUUCCUGCAUCCUGAUGCGUCCUUAUUGCUUAUAUUAUUAUAGACCACUUUUGGAAGCAUAACAAAUUUUGCACACAUGGUAUCCAUCUUGCGGACCCAAAUGUUGAUGAUAUACUUGCAUGCUGCAAAAUAAGCCCUUUUAAUAACUUAUCAUCUGGUAAAUGAUAGUUUAUUUAUUUAUUACAUAACAAAUAUGUUAUGCCAUAUGCCACCUAUUAGUGAAAGAUGUUUAAAUAACUACUCUUGUAGUAAACUCCUGAAUGAUGGCAAGUUAGAUUUAUACUUAAUGCACUAACUUCGAUAUUAUUUUUUUUUUACAUGGUAAUUAUUUUCUUCUCGCUAGGAAGUUGCAAUGAUUGAUAAUAAGGGAGCAUUUUGCUUUAUAUACAAUCCUUAAUAGAAGAUUUUCUAGAGAUGUUUAUUAUUAUUAUUAUUAUUAUUAAUCCCGCGUUGGUCAGGAUUUGAUUACUAUAAUAUUGACGAUUCGAUUUCUAACAAUUUUGUUUAUUAUAAAAUUAAAACAAAUGAGUAGUCAUCUAGAAAAUCAUAAUCUCUUUAAAGGCAUCAAAAGGCAAUGGCAAUGUAAAGUGAAUGUGCAUGAAUCUAUUAGUAACAUGUUUGCACGUGUAUUAAUCUUAAAAUAGUCAGUCUUGAAUAUUCCUGGAGGUAUAAAAGCCCUUGAGUUAUCCCUUCAAUGAUAUGAACACGUUUUUUCCAAUCCAAAAUAAGUCUUCUGAUGGGAUCUACAACAAAUAUAUAGUUUUGGACAAUAAGUGAUAUGCAAAUGAAUUUUAUACACAAUUAAUAUUAACUUGAUUUCAGAACAAACCAAAAAGGUAGCAAUCCAAGCUUUUGUUUGGCAUGUAUUCGUAGACCAGCAUCCGUUCCUCACUGUCAAUGCAAAAACCUAAAACUCUAAUAAGAUUUACAUGUUGGAGUUUUGCAGUAAGAAUAACCUCAUUCUUAAACUCCUCAAAUCCCUGUGCGGAUGAUUUCGAAAGUUUCUUCACUGCUAUCACCACUCCACAGGGUAAUACACCCUGCAACCCAAAAAAAAAACCACGUUCAUAUAAAGCUUUCACUAAUUAGAGACGCUGAGAAAUGUUAGCCAAACAAUAUGCUACCCCCCAAAGUUGAGGGCACCAUUUUAAGUCCUUUAAGUCCCCAUGGACGCAAAAUGUAAAUCUCCUCUCACAGAAUAUGGAUAUGGGUAGAGGUAUCUUCCUCAAAUGUUAGUCGAAGUAGUUAUAUCCCUCUAGUGUGAGGUUAGAGGUCUCAUCUCUAAUAGGCAUAGAGUUUUAAAUUAUAUGUUUUGGGCCUCUGAAUUCUACGACGAGUGUACAAAUUCAAACUUCCGAUAGGAUCCAAAUUGCAACAUUGUGGAUUGUAACAAAUUAAAAUAUAGGUACACACACACACACAUGUUACCUUGUAAACAGGACCAUAUCCACCCUCCCCAAGGUUAUUUCUAAUUGAAAAUCCCUCGGUGGCCGCCUCAAUAUCAGCCAAACUAUAUACUCUGAGAUUAGGAACAUUUCUGUUAAAGUCUCCAGCUUCUGUUUCAUUAUUUUCUCUCGUGUUUGAUGCUUUAGCAGAAUCCUCUGUUCCUAACAUCAACCAAGAGUAAAUAUUAGAUAAUUAAUUGUAUGUCAGCCUAAGUUUUAUAUAUAUAUGAAAUGCAUGCUUAAUUAUAAUUGGUAGCUGAAGCUUGUUACCUUCUAUUAACUUGAGCCUUUUCAUCUGGUUGUAUUUAUAUGCACAACAACUUAGAAGGAGAGUCAAAGCUGCCGCUGCAGUCGAAAUGAGUACCAAGGACAGAUGGCGGUUAUUACUAUGUUCAUCUUUGUCAGCUGAAGCAGAAGUAAUGCUGUCUUUUUGUGCAGGAAAUAUGUAUAGUUCACCAAUUAAUAAUAACUAGCUAGAGAUGCCAUAAAAAUCAAUAUUUAUUGGAGAGAACAAUUAUUGCAUAUAUAAAUACCUGCAGCUUGAGAAAGCACCCAAUUAUGAUCAUCACAAUCAACUCGCCACACAUAGUAACCAAGCAAUCUCUUCUCUUUGGCAUAGGCAAUCUUAGUUCUAACAGCCUCCACGUCAUCAAAGCCAAACCAAAUCGUCCGAAUCGAGCAGUAAUUCACCUCAUAAGUUGAAUUGUACAUAACUUGGACAUCAGGACCAUAGUCCUUGAUGUGAUUCUUGAUUUCCUUAUAAGUCGCAAGGCCGCUAUCAUACAAAGCUGGUCCUGUUGCUGCUGCACCAAUACCAUUGUCUUCAGGUUUCACAAGCCUCCAUGCAUAGCCAUAGAAAGGCAAACACAUAACCAACUUAUCUGCCGAUAAUCCUCUCUCAAUCCAUGCCUUUAAAACCUGAUCGGUACAUCUAGCAAAGCCGCCGCUACUUGAGCCAUAGAGAGCCGCAGGUGGCGCCGUGAAGUUUGUUGACAUAGGCUCGCAGUAGCUAGCAGUAACCGCAUGAACCCAAUUCAAGUUUCGUUGUAUCGAAUUCAAAAGAUAUGAAUUCGCUGGUGGUGAAUAACGAAAUCUUGCGGUCAAAAUCAGCGGGGAUUGCUGGCGACUAGAGUUUUUUGCCUCUAAUUUUGUAGCAGCAAUUCGCCACUCGUCAAAAAGUAAACCAAUAUUGAACAUAUCGGUGCUUGUUUUAGGAGCUGUCCAAGAAAAGUCUAGGCCCUGAAAGCCAUAAAGCCUAGCUAUUCUUAUUGAAGAGUCGAUGAAAGAUUUUCUGUGAGAAGGAUUUCUCACCAUUGAAGAAUAAAUAGAAUAGUUUGUAUCCUUUCCUUGUCCAAUGGAGAGAAGUAUAGUGAUUGAUGGGUUCUUUUUUUUCACGGUGUCUGCGAAUUUGGCGAUUUGAUUUUCAUCGGAUGGUAAUGAUAAAGAUAGCUGGUAAGUGGUGGAAUUGAUAUCAGCAGAAGAGCAAAUAAGGUGAGUGAAGAGAUCAUAAUUUAUGCCCGAAAUGGUGGACACGUCGCUUAGAUCCAAGUGACCGACCCUAAUCCACGGUUUUGCUUUCGCGGGAUGAAGUUCUGAAUAGCAACGUGUGGAAGAUGAUGCUGAUAAUUAUGGAUGCCAUUUGAGACUUUGUUAGGAAUGGAAAUGGAUCCGCAGAAGAGAAAUUAGAUAAACACUAGUUUCACAGUUCAUUUAAGUUCUUAUGUAAACUAUUAACGUAGAGGUUCAUUUCGUUCAGAAAAAAAUCUUAUGCGCUCCUGGAUAGGCACAUACAUUGCAUGUUAAGAUGAUGAUAGGCGAUGCGACCAUUGCCUAAGAACUAAGAUUUUCUUCCGUCGCUUGGGUUGGCUGACUUUCCAUGAAGAAAAAUGAUGUUUUGAUUGACAUUUGGUUUAACUGAUGACAAAUUUCAGGCUAUAAAUAUCAGUAUUGUUUUAUUAAAUAAUAAAAUAUAAUAAUUUUACAUGUACGUUGAAAGUUAAUAACUUAAUAUUGCAGUCUUUUGAGACUGUGUUGACGUUUAUUCGGGUGCAUUCGUUUAUUAUAUAUUCCCGUUUUUCUCCCUGUGUGUUUGCUACAGUGCUCUUAAAAGAAUAACAUGUUUUUUUUCGACAAUAAAAGAAUAACAUGUUUAAAGCAUGUAAAUGCACCUCAGAAGUAGUUAAGAAAGACUUGAUAAAAAACCAGACAUUUUCUCUCUACUCAAAAAGUAGUUAAGACUGUAUGAACCAAUUAAAACGUCAGAUUCAUACUAUAACUAUGAUGAUUCAAUAAGACCUUCAAACUAAAUCCACAGAUUCCAUGAGUAAGAAACAAUGGAUCACAUUUUUUUAAGUUUAUGCUUUGAGUAAAAUAAAAGUAGAAACAUGAAUUUGAAAGAAGCAAUUUAGUUAUAAAAAAUUGUCAAGUAAUUAAUUGUUUGGCAUUUAUUUUAUGGGUCCCAACCCAUGUGAUCCGUAAAAUGAGACACCUUAUGUGAUUGGGUGCGCCAUGGUGCGCUAACCUCAUAUAAGCUUCUCUCUUCUUACGGAUAUAACUGUAUAUGGGUGGCAUUAUGUAGUGCCCCACAUGGGCUCUUUAAAAUUAUUUUAUGUGCAUUUUAAACAUUCCCUCGUUAUUGAUUUGAAACACUAAAAAUGCCUCUCUUAAAUUUUAAAAAUAUAUAAAAAAAAUUGCGUGUUUAAAGAAUGCUUGAUGUCUCUAGCCUAACAGUUAGCACACCUAUUGUAUACACUUUUACUUUUUUCUUCUCUAAACUUUCACUCCUCUUUUCUCUGAUUCUUCACACUUCACUGAUCUUUUAUCUCUAAAAAAAUUAAACUGUCUCUAGAAGCUUAUUACUAAUUUUCUGAUCUAAUUAUUUACAUAAGUAUUCUUGAUUGAUUAUCACUUCUUUAAUUUUUUGAGGGGGAUUUCUCUUGGAUGAAAGAAUUAAGGUUAUGUUCUAAGAAAAUUUUAACUCCCAUGUUAUAGUUUUGAUAAUGAGAUUAUCCUUAAAUUUUCAAUAUAUGAAAAUACUUCGAAACAACUAUUAAUUCGUUGAAUGAAACAUCCUAAUGAACUUAGAUUUUGGUACUUAUUAUUUAUUGAACUUUUUCUUUUAAAUUACAUUACUAUUUGAAGUGUGGCGGUAUAUGGUCUCUAGUCCAAAUGACGAAAUCAAAUCACCAUGUGCAUUAGUGUUUUGUUUGUGUGGUUGGAGGGGGGGGGGGGGGGGCGGUGUUUUUUAUUGGUGCAGGAAGAAAGCUCUUCAGGACUACUCGGAAAAAUAUAUAUAUAUAUAUGAGCAACACAUAGUCCAUUUCGCAUUGCAUAGAAGUAAAACCGAAGCAUUACACAAAAAGCACACGUUAUUUAUAUUUUUAGUUAUUGAUAAGAAAAUUUUUUCCCUCUUAUUAUCAUCUUAAUUAAGAAAAAUAGUAAUUCGUUUAACUGUUUGCGAAAAAUGAUGGCAAUAUACAAUAAUAUUGUGUUGAUGACCUUGAAAGCUAAUUCUUUUGAAACAGGAAAACUGGUAUCGUAUUCAAAACACAUAAAAGACGUAUCCAAGCUUUUAAUGUGAUCUAAAGAUCUCAUAGCUACAUUCGAAAUUAAUAAAUGAUCCCUAAGAGUUACGAAACUGAUAUCAAUGAAAUUACAAACUCUUAAGAGUUUAUAGAACAUUAAUUGAUCCAAAUCCAAUACAAACUGCUUACUAGUACAGCCUCAAGAGAGCCAUUUAUUUUUCAGUAGGCAAAUUAAGCAACUGCAGCAGUCACUAGCAGCUUGCCAAGAGCUAGCAUAGAUCAAUUGUUCAUCUUCAUAAGCUUUCUUUGAGAAAGUUUCAAGCUUCUUUGGAGUCAUUAUAUCGGCUGUGUUCUCGUUUUUGAGCAUCGAAUAAACUUCCAGCAUAGAAGGUCUACCGUUUGGGUUCUCCUGAACACAUAACAAAGCUAUUUGCAGACAUGUCAAUAAUUUCCAUGAGGAAUGCGCAUCAUCUAGUGAUGGAUCCAUUAACUUUAUGCCUUUCCCAUCCUUCCACAACUUGUAGGACUGAAAACAUCAAAUAUGUUAUUGAGUUACAUUCAAUUAAAUAGCACUAUAAAGUUUUGACCAAUUGUGCAUUAUAAAGGGGGUUAUACAGAAACUUACAUAGUGUACAAGGCUUAAAUUUUCAUUAUGACCAUAUUAAAUAAAAAAUCUCCUUCCAUUUAUAAUUUGCAAAAGUAAAAUCUCAAAACUGUAGACAUCAUAUUUAGUAGAGUAGAUGCCUCUUCUACAUACCCAGGAGGGAUGUAGCCAUUGUGGUACCGAUUAAUUACAAACGUCAUUGAAAUUGUUUGACCUAAAAGAUUAAGUUGAUUGGUAAAUGUUUAACAAUAGUAUUAAAGAUAAGUCGAAGAAAAUAGACAUAUAUAUACUUACUGUGUUCCAACAAUUCGAUUUGUGUUUGCUUCAAGAUCAUCUUUCACAAAAAUUCUAACGAAGUCAAAAUCUGAUAUUUUUGGUUUCAAAUCUUCAUCCAACAAAAUGUUACUAGCUUUCAAGUCUUAAUGAAUAACUAUUAAUCUAGAAUAUUCUUGAAGAUAGAAAAGCCCUUGAGUAAUUCCUUAAAUGAUAUGAAUGCAUUUUUUCCAAUCCAAAAUAAACCUUCGGAUGGGAUCUACAUCAAAUAUAAGUAUAGUUGGACGGUCUGUAGCAUUAGCAUUUAGAAAUGAGAAAUGCAAAUAAAGGAUUUCGUAAAUGAAGAAUUGCUCGCUGGAAGAAUAAGUUGAAUAAUCUGCAUUUCCUCCUCCGAUGGAAAGAAGGGUAGUGAUUGUUAGGUUCUUUGUUUUCAUAGUGUGUGUGAAGUUGAAGAAUUGUUCCUCAUCAGAAGAUGACAAAGAAAGUUUGUAGGACGUUGGAUCGACAUAAGCGAAACCACAAAUAAGGUGAGUGAAGAGAGCACAUUAUUUAUAUCUAAAAUGGGGAAGCCAGGCCUGGUUCCCAAAUACUAGCUCUGAUUAAAGUUUUUGCUUUUGCAGGAAGCGAUUCUGAAAAUAUAAAAAUCUGGAGGACCUAAGUGACAAAUUUGGAUGCCAUUUUGGAAAGCCAGCUGCCUGAAACAUGCCCAGUCUGUAUGUGUUUUUAUACACACACACAGAAAUUAUCCUAUAUUGACCGAGAUUAGUUAUGGUCCUAAAUAAUAUAUGUUUUAAGCAACCCUUAACCCAUGAGUUAAAGUUUAUAAACAGUAUCAGAGUCAGGUUAUGGACAAAUGCGCUUAUAUUACCAGACUAAAAUAUCAGCGUGCAUUUGAUGGAAUGAUAGGAAAAAUAUCCCACCUUAGUUAAGAUUAGUUACUAAGUUAAUAAUAUAAGAUUAAGGCAAUCUUCCACUCAUAUAACGCAAGAGUAUGAAUCACAAUUUAAUAAAACUAGGUCAAUUCGAUUUUUUAUAAAGAUAUAUGAGCUACAACUUGAGGUCGCUCACGAGUGGGGACGAGUUAGAUUAAGGCAAUCUUCAACUCAUAUAAUGUUGAUCAUGGACCGAAUCAACAUAGGAAACAAAAGUCGAGGAAGUUGAAUCUCCUUGCCUUCAAGUUGCAUGGAUGGGAGUCAUACAACGAAAAGGUUGUCUUCGUUCAAUGACGAUCGGCUUGAAGUUCUUAAAUUAAGCUACGGCGUUUGCCUCCACUUAGCUUGACUUCUGAAGCUGGAGACUCUUCCUUUUGUAUUGGCUUCGUUGGUACUUAAAUUACCUCGGAGUCUCGGAUGUGUUUCUGAAGCCAUGUCAUUGUCUACGAGUAGAAUUUUUUUUUUUUUUUUUUUUUUUGGGGGGAAGAAAGAGGAAGUCUAUCGGAAAAGUAGUAAAAUGAUAUUUUUUGUAAAGAUAUAGUAGGAAAAUGAUAGGGAGCAAUACUUCUUGUAGUCAUUUGAUAUUUGUCAAAUUUUAAAGUAGUGAAAUGAUAAUAACCCAAAAAAAAAAACAAAACGUUUUUCAAUCAAAAACAAAAAUAAAGAAAUAAAUAGACAAUCCCAUGUAUAAAAAGCUAACCGGGAAUGGUGAAGACGACACUGACAUCCUCCGUUUCUCUAUUAAGCUACUUCAAGUGUUUAAGGUUUUUGAUAAUUAUAGAAAUUAAGAAAUAACAUGAAGAAGAAUGAUCAAUUAGGGGAAGUGAUUGAAGUUGAUGUGGGUUUGGACGGUGGAUGAUGAAAGCUGACUUUGUUUUGUUAUGUAAAAUCAACGGUGCCCAAAAGGCUGUUCUGACGCAGAUGCUUCACUUCCUUGCAUACUGCUGUAGAAAAAAAUGGUUUUUUUCUAUCUAAAGGUUAAUAGUUUAGUUUGGUGAAAAAGAAUUUUAAGUACAGUAAAAUUUUUAUAAAUUAAUAAUUUUCUAUCAUAUAAAAUUUAUUAAUUUAAAAGAAGUAUUAAUUAAUCUAUAUUAAUAAUUUAUCAAUUUAUAAAGUGUAUAUACAAUUCGAUAAACAUACAUUUUAAUCAAUUAAAAUUCAUUGUAUUUUACCAAUCUAAUAAAUUAAAAAUGAAUUAAUCUACUAAAUAUAAAUUAAAUUAAUAAAAAAAUUUAUAAUUCUUACAAUUUCAAAAUUCAACCCUUAAACUUCUAGAAGUGAUACGCAUAGCAUUACUCAAUUUAAAUUCAACCCUUAAAAUCAUGGCAAGAGAAUAGUGAAGAAAAAAGAAAAGAAAAGGAAAAAACAAACUCACAAACACUUAGUUAUCGACCUCUAUGGCCUAUGCCACUGGCCUGUAGAACUAACUCCCUCAGAAAUGAUUUCAAGUUCCUGUAAUUUUCUGUAUAAAAUGAGAGCAUUUUCCUCUUUAAAGCAGGGGCAGUAACAGUGUCACAAUAGAAAGCAUUCUGAUGGUAAGAUUAAGUAGUAUUGUGAUUUUAAUUGGGGGGAAAAUGUCCCAUACGCUUAUUUCCUUAUGUGAUUUAGAUUCAAGUCAAGACGACCCUCCAUUUUAGUAUAAAAGUCUAUACAAAUGUACGUUUUACUCAAUGUUUACGUAGAAACAAAUGAUUUGCUGAUUUAGUACCACUCUUGUUUACUGGGUGGGAUUUGGCUCCUCCAAAUUUGUAGCCAAUAUUUUACUUUGAUGAGAAAAUCAAAUAACGUUUCAACAAAUAAUUUUUCUUUUCUACGUACUUUCUUAAAACGUAUGGAGUGAGUAAAGUACAAAUUGAUUUUUUAGCCCUUUGACUCUUCCAUAUUCAAACUCAAAUUAGUGGUCUGUUAAAUAUUGCUACUUAAAAUCAUUCAGCCAAAUAUUGUAAAAACUAUAAUUUCACAAAGUCAAAGUUUCAUUGAUUAUUGAAUUGUAGAGUGUGCUAUCAUUUCCUAGCUAAAAAUUUGUUUAGUUCUAUUAAGUUUCAAUCAUUUUUUAUUUUAUUUAAUUAAUUAAAGUGAAUUUAUUAUGUAUAAAUGCUAUUUAUGUGAAAUUUUAAAAUCCAGUGCUAAAUUGAAUUGUACUAAAUUUUUAUAAUUUUUUGUCACACCUGCAUUUCUAACAGUUUAGUAUAAAUAUUGAGAGCAAAUAGUAUAUAGGAUUAAAAGAGAUUGAUUUCGAGUGCUACAAGAUUUUUAGGAUUGCAUGCGCAAGGGUUUAAAAACAAAGUGUGCAUUUAAUUACACUAAACGUAGGUGCAUUUUUAUGAUGAAAUAAAAACUGGUUGUAUAAAUGGCUCCAUAAUUAGUGUACUUAAUAUCCAUCUAGCUAUCACUUCCGAAAAUGAUAUCAGAAGCCGAACACAUUUCCAACUGUAUUUUAGAUAAUAGUUCAAUCCCAAUUUCGUCAACUUGUUUUGAGAAAGCAGGCUUCUUGGGAGAAUUUAUAUUUCGUCAACUUGUUUCGUCAAUUUGUGCAUAUAAAUGUCUAUCAUUUGGAUUCUCCUGGACACACAACAAAGCUAUAUCCAGACGUCUCAUUAAUUUACAAGUGAAAUUUGUAUAAUCUCGUGAUGAAUCCACAAACUCCAUAUAUAUUUUUUUUUUUACCACGAGGUAUCAUGGGGAGGGCCCCAACUGUGGGAGGCACCUUUAAGUCCGUACCACAACUCAGACUAGAAGUCCCCGCUCGAACCGAGAGGCACAGGUUCUCCCAACAAAGGCGACUUCCCUACGACUUGAACUGGGGAGCAAACCCAGUCAAGCCAUUUAAGGGGACUCCAUUGCCAGUGGAGCCAACACUUUGUUGGUUAAACUGGAUAUUUUAUCUUGCUACAAACUCCAUAUUUUCACAACUCAUAUGCCUGAAAUUAUCAAGUAUUAUCUUGCUACAUAUUUUAUACUACUUAGUUAAGUGCAUAUAUAUAUAUAUAUAGACACAUACACACACACACACUAAAGGUUACUAUAGCCAAAGAAAUUUACAUGCUCUAGAAGACUUAAAUUUCCAUCGAUGCCACAUAGGCACAUAACAUAAAAAGACUUUUCCCAGUUAUCAUUCGUAAAAGUAAGACUUCAAAACUAAAAAUGUUUGAUUCGGUAGAGUAAACAUCUCUAUGAGUGUAUUUAGGAGGAAUAUAACCUCUACAUUUGAAAAUAACCAACACUCACUACUACAAAAAUGACUUUUACUGACACUUUGUUUCUGACACUUUGAAAAAAGUGUCAGUAAUUACCUAACUAUGCACAAUUUUCCGCUUUUAACAAAUAAAUGUCACAAAUUAUUAAUACUAAUGUAUCAGUAAAUUAAAUAUUAGAGAUCACUGAUACUUCAGCAUCAGAGAUCUAAAAAGAAUCAUUAAAAUUUGUUUUGAUUUUAACUCGAACCUGGGAUUUCUAAAACUCAAAACUUUUACGUUUAGAUUGCAAACCACUGGACCCCAUAAAAUUGAGUUGGAAUUACAAUGUUAUAUAAAAUAUUAACAUAUAAAAAACCAAACCCUAAUUCCCCUUUUCCAUUGUGCAAUAGAGCCCAUGCCGCAGCUGCUGCGUAAUUUCCUUGCCUUUCUUGACUUCUUCUUCUCUAUCGUGAAAGAUGGAGAAUGACCAGGCCCAAACGCCCACGCCCACAGCCGCGCCCAACCCCCACGGCUGCGCCCACCCCCACGCCGUUGCCACUAUCACUUCCGUUCAAGUGGUUCGACACUGCAGGUACUAAAUUAAGAAUUUAAAACAUGUAAAACGAAAGUAAAACAUAUCCCAAACUUAGCAAUUGUCCCCAUCUCCCUGUCUUUUAUACACACAAAUCUCUAACCCAAACUCAAACCCAAAACUGUCUCUUGCCUUUCUCUUUCUCUUUCCUUUUUCUCUUCUCGAUCUCUUCCUUUUUUUUCUGUCCAUUCACAAACUCGUUCAUUUAACUUAAAUAGAUAAUAUAAAGCUAAAACCCUAAGUGAGGCUUUUAUUCCCUUUUUCCUUUUUUUUCCCAAAUUGAAAAACGGACCAAAACCGUAAUCGAGGCUUCUUUUAUCAAUUUUUUUUCUUUUUAUGGUCAAAUUUCACUUUUUUUUUGUUCAAUAUUCAAAACCCAUUUGCUUGAAUUUGAAUAAAAUUAUUGAGAAAUUAGUUAAUUUUCUUGCUAUGGAAGGGAUACCACACCUUAUACGUAGACCUGUGAAGGAGAUUUUCAAUGACUUUAAGGGCAAACAGGUUGCCUUGAUUAAGGCUUUAACUGCUGGUAAUGGCUUAAUAUUUUAUUUUCUUUGUCAAAUUAAUUAAUAAUUUUUUUUUAUUUUAGCUUAUCAUUAUUAGGGUUUUUUGUUAAUUUUAAUUUUCUGGGUUGUUGCAGAUGUUGAGAAAUUCUGCCAGUGGUGCAGUCUUGGUGGGAUUUCUUUUCCAUAUCUAUUUUUUGUUUAUUUAAUUGUAAUUUGAAUUUUUUUCUUUUUUUUCCUAUAUUUCUAUAUUAUAUAGAUUGAAUGGCUGUGUAUUUCAUAAUUAUUAAGUGUUAUUUAUUGCUCUGUUUCAUGUAAAGAUAGGCAAAUUAUGUUAUAGAAACCAACAUGUUUAUUUUUUUAUUUUUUUUAGUUGGAAGAUUUUUAAUAGAGACAAUGACUAUGAUAUGAAUUAACUAAGUUCAUGAUUUGUCUUUAAUUCAAGAAGAAAAUGCUUGUUUUUAGGUAGUUUUGCUUGUUGUAGCACUUGAAGACUUACAUUUUCUUUGUUCAUUUGCACGGUUAGUUUCGCUCUUAUUCAGAAAUUUCUGUGUUUCCUCACUUGCAUGGUCAUUAAUUCAUUCCAUGAUUUUUCUUCUGUAAACACACUUUUAUUUUCCUUUCACUAGUUUGAAGGAAUUUAUUUUUUUAAAAUAAAAAAUUCUAAAGAUUGAAAUGAAUUGAAAUUGUUGCUAUAAUGUACUUUCUUUGCUGCUGAAGUUCAAGGAAUGUCUAUUUAAAUGAACUAGAACUUGAAAAAUCUUGAAGUGUUGUUGUACCCAUAGACUUCAUUUUUUUUCCUGCACAUUACACUUAUUUUGUUCAUCUUCUUACCUUCAAUUUGUCGUAGAGGUUAACAAUGAUUGACGAGAAAUGGAGGUUUGCAUUUACUGCGGCUGAAUCUCAUGAACAAGAAGUUGGCAAACUGAGGUCUGUAUUUUUUCCUCAAAUUCAUAGUUGAAUUCAUAGUAAGCUCAAAGCAAUUGAUUGAGGGAGAAAAUAAAUUGAGUUUUAUUUAUUAGUAUAAUUUUUGUUAUUUAGUGCUUUACACUCUUCAUGACAACUUCUGCGAUCUUGUCCUAUUACCUUAAGGUACUACUGGAUAUUUGAGAAAAAAUUAAAAAUUAUUAAGAUUAUCUUUCUUUGAUGAUAGAAUUACAAUAUGUCUUCUCACUUAUUAUAGUUCAUCCAAUUUUAUUUUUGUUGCACAGUCUGUGGAAAUCAGAGUACCACAUUUAAGAGUUUUUAUAAAAUGUCUCCUUUACCUUUCCUAUUAUUUAAACUAAUUUCAUGUGUAUUUCUUUAGUUAAUGAUUGAUUUUCAAGUAGUUGAAGGAAAGUAACUUGUAGAACCUCCUUCUAAAAUUGGUCUGGAACCUUUGUGUGCAAUGGUUAGUGAAAUCAUAAUCCGUGGCUUGUGUUAAUAUGCAUCGAUUGUGUGAAAACUAUUGUUUACUAUUUUCUGUGGCUGGUUAUUAACAUGAUUCACAGAUAAACAACAAUAGACUCAUACCCAUAUGCUUGCUUGUUUUCAACAAGCAUUUUUUUUUUGUAGGUUUUUUUUUUGUGCGUCUCUCUUUGAAGAAUAAUAUGAUUAUCUUACACGAAAUGGGGAAAUUCCAUUAUCUUGCUGCAAGUUUUUUCCUAGUUCUAUAGUUCUACCGUUUUGUAUCACCUUGGAUGACAUGUCGAGUGAAUCCUGGAACAUCAUUUUAUCUUGUUUGUACCUAUAAUACGUUGUGUUCAAUGUUCUUGAAAUUUUUGGGCAUGGCUGCAAACAAAUUUAGCAGUUUUUAAUAGCCAACUAUAGAGUCAAUUUAAAAUUUGUCUAGGUGGUGAGUUUCUAUGGUUUUGUAAUUGGGGUGAAAGGUAGCAAAUACUAAUCUUGUCUAAAGAGCAUUUGUGUAAGAUUACUUGUGAGUAUAGUGGGGCAGCAUAUAUUAGUAUUUUUAUGAAAUAAGCAGAAAAAGGGAUCCCUUUCUAUUGUCAGCAAUAAAAAGAAUUUUCAAAAAUGUAAACACCAAGCGUUCUAGUUGUAUUGUUAUUUGCAAAGAUCUUUUCAAUGUAUUUGUAGAUCCCAACAUACCUUGAUGCAUGAUCAAUUAGUCUGAAGAAUGUUGAGGAUUAUGUCAUUUUGAGCUGUUUAUCAGGUAGUUUGAGGUUAGAUUUGUUUUUUGGAGUAUUAGCUUGGAAUCUGAGUGCUUGCCUAAUUUGGAGAUUGGUGUGUGAUACUUCAAUAGCCUUUUUUUGUGGACUCCCUUUUGACAUUUUGUAAUUAUUGUUCUUAUUAAUACUAAUUUCUCUGUUUCCUAUAAAAAAUAAAUAAAUAAUGAAGGAUAGGUUUUUAUAUGGUAAGGAAUGAAUAAAUAUUAUAAGCAUUUAUUGGAAAAUAAAACUAUGCAGCUUAUUUAGUUGUUUUCCUAUUUAGUGAUAAAUUAAAAUUUUUGGCUUAAUUAUAUUCGGAUAUAUAAACACCAAGUUUUCAGUGUUAAGAUGGAAAACCAACGUCUUUAAAAUUUAUGAAUUGUUAAUACUGAAUCUUUUUUCAGUUUCAGUUAAAAAACAAAAAGGCCCUUCUUUUUUCUAUCUUCAAAUUUUGUGUGAUAGAAGUAUACUGUUGGGCCUUUCUUAUCAACUUUAGCUUUUGGGAUUAUUGUUGGUUUAACUUUAGAAUUAUUUGACCCAGAGAUUUUAUGUUCCAUUAAAUAAUAACACUCAAUACACUGGAUUUAGUUCAUGUUUAUUAAAUUUGGAUUUUUAUGUGAGACGGUACAAGUAUUGGGGAUUAGUGGUCUCUCAACAUUAUGAUCGAAAACCAGCCCUCACUGCCAAUUUGUAUUUUAAGCCCAAUAUUCAGUCCUUGAUCACUAUCAAACUUCCAUAAUCAUUUCUUCUUCAUAUUCUUAUAAAUCAGCCUCAAACUCUAAAGAAAAACCUAAGCCAUUCUCUGUAAGGGGUAAGCGUCUGUUCUUGUUCGGAUGAAGGUGCCAAGUUUUAUUUUGCUCUUUAACGUUAACAAGUCAAUUCCCCAUGAUGUGUUAGGUGAUUUGUUUGUUUCAUGCUGUUUAUUUCCUCGUCUUUUUUUUCUUCUAUCUACUGUUCCUUUAUGAAUUUGCCUCUAGGCAUUUUUGCAGUUGCUUACUAUGAAAUACAAUGGGCUUAUGCUAUAUUUUGUAAAAAUAACUAUGUAAUUCAAUCUCCAAAUUAGUUAAUCUUCUUAGUUGGCUUUGUCUUUGACUGUUUUUUAUAUCAAUUAAUUUGUUUCGUUGUGUACAGGUUAAUUUCUAUUGUUGGAGCCAUGAGUCUGCUGAACACAUUUUUCCUAACAGAGGUUUGGGAUAUGGACUUGCCCAAUUUUUGUCUGUUUUGUUUCUAGGUUAUUAUGUAAAAAUUUUAUAAUGGUUUGCUUUGCUUUGGGUUAUGAUGUAAAAACUUUGUAGUGGUUUGCCUCAAAUGUUUCUGUUAUUAUGUCUUUGGUCUUAUCCUAAGAUACGCUAUAUUCUUAUUCCUCAAUUUUUACCCCUGGAUUGUUUAAUGAGUUUCUAAUUUUGGAUGUAUACUAAUAAAUCUCCAUUUAUCUUUCUUAAUCCUUAGGAUUUUUUUUUUAUUUUUUUUAUUCUUCUUAAGUUGAGUUGUGUAUAGAUCUGUAGGAAAAUCCACUCAAAUUCAAUUCUUAGCAGAUAAAUAUUCCUACCUAUUACAAUUAGCUUGCACUAAGAGAGCUAUGUAUUGUUUUUGCCCCAUUCUUUGUUAGUCUCUUUGAACACUGAAAUUGGCCUGAUUGUUUUUUCUCCCAAAAAUUCAAGAAUUAUUUUUUGUGGUAUACUAAUUGAUUUUAUGUACUUGUAGGUGGGAAAAGAAAAAUGAAGCCGCUUGUGGAUGUUCAAUGACAUUAUGUGCUUCUUUUUGUUGGUUAAUAUUUGUUGAAUCUUAACAUAGUACUUGGUUGUUAAGAGCUUGUCCAAGACUUAAUUUAGUAUUUAUAUUUUUCUUUUCCAAACAAUGAUGUAGUUGAAUGAUAUGAAUUUGAGUGAUGUAUUUGAGAUGUCUCUUAUGCAAUUGUGUUGCGAGAUUUUGUAUAUUUAAUAUAUUUUGAGUUUUCUUUCAGUUGUAAAACAAAUAGGAAAAUAUAAUUAAAAUCAAAGUAUACUAUUAACCAAAAGAAUCAUAACAUCACUAAAUACUGACACUAAAUGUUUAAAAUAACAGUAAUAAUUUUUUAUGUUAUUGAGUCAGUGUGCUCUUGAUACUGUAGUCUCAUAAAUUACUGACAUAUAAAUAGUAUCAUUAAAUACUAACGCUAUCGUGUCAUUAUUUUAGUGAUACCAUAAUGACAUGAAUUACUGACACAAAAAUCGCUGACACUAAAAAUUAGUGUCAGUGUGUUCUGUCUGGAGAAUUAUUGACACAAUUAAUAAGUGUCAGGAAAAGUAAUUACUGACACUAAUUUAGCGUCAGUAAAGCCCAUUUUUCUAGUAGUGACUAUUUCAGUAUGUCUCUCUCUCUCUCUCUCUCUCUCUCUCUCUCUCUCUCUCUCUCUCUCUCUCUCUCUCUCUCUCUAUAUAUAUAUAUAUAUAUAUAUAUAUAUAUAUAUAUAUAUAUAUAUAUAUAUAUAUAUAUAUAAUCAGCUUCAGGUCUGGAAUUUAAAUUUGUAAAGAGUCUACAAUAUCGUAAAUUGCAUUCAUCACUGUUUUACAAUGGUCUAAAUUUUAUUAUAAAUGACUGUCAAAAAAUUAAUACAUGGUUAUCAUUUAUGAUUAUAAUUAGAACAUUAAAAUUCAAGUCGACUCAUUUGUCUUUACAUUGAUGUAUUCUUUGCGAUUAUACUUAGAAUGUUAAACAAUUAAGUUGAAACGACCCGCCCCAAAUCUCCAGGACAAGUCUAUCUAAUCUCGCCUAACCGAAUUAAUAAUAGUUCUAAUAUCUAAGAAUUCUACCAAAACUUCGGCAGAGUCUCUUAUAUAAUUAUUACAUCCCCAAACUUGUAAUUUAUAAAAUUAACACUCCAAAAAAUAAUACAAUAUUUAAUCAACCUCUACAACCAACUUCCUCAAUUUAAACACCAGUAUCCUUCAAACAUAUAAUGUCAAGAAUACAAUAAUUUAUCCUUAAUCGCAAAUAAGUAAUAAAUUAUACAAUUCAAAAUAUCCCAACAAAGCAUCUAUGAUUUUUAACACCAUCAUGUGGCUAUAGUUUCAAAUCUAACUAUCGUUGUUGGAUCGACUGAUGUACCUGCAAAUCUCCUAGGGAGGGGGGGAAAUAUAAUAAAAAUAUGGUGAGUAUAAAACUCAGUGAGCUCAGUGAGUGGUGGGGGUGGGCAAAAUCGGGUUCGGGUCAACGCGAUCGGGUUUCGGGUUGUUCGGGUUAGACAAGAACCAAUUCGAACAUAACCCGAAUUAUUGACCCAACCCGAACCGACCCGAACUGGAUCGGGUUGGAUUUAAAACGGGUUGGAUUGAGUUCGGGUCAAUUCGGGUUAGUUCGGGUCAGCGUGUGUGUGUGCUGUGCAGCUCGUGUGUGUUCUGUUCUGUUCUGUCAUUCUGCAUUUCUGUGUGCGUGCUGUGCAAGUGUGCAGCUUGUGACUUGUGUUGUGUGUGUGCAACAGCGUAUGUGUGUGUGGGUGCGGCUGUGUGCUUUGCAGCUUCUAACAAGUUGUGUGUGUGUGUUGUGCAGCAGCCAAGCAGCGUGUGUGUGUGUGUGUGUACAGUGUUAGCUUAGCUUAGGUUUUUUUUUUUUUUUUGAGAACCCGAUCGGGUAUUCGGAUCGGGUCGGGUUUGACCCAAACCGAUCACAACCCGAUCGGGUUUGUAAAUUUCAAACCGCUCGGGUUUCGAUCCCGACCCGAUCCGACCCGAACCCGAAAUUUAUCGGGUCGGGUCGGGUCGGAUCGGGUAAAAUGCCCACCCCUAGUGAGUGGAUAGUAGUUUAGGAAAAAUAAUUUAUUUAAAAUGAUUUAAUCUUUUCUAAAUCAAUUUCAUCAAAAUAUCAUAAGAACUUACAUAAACUUAUUUAAUUCAAAUCAUGCACUGAAAUAACAAUAUUACAUAAAUCUGCAUAAAAUCAAUGAAAUCAUAAUACUUAUUGUUAGCCUAUAUGGCUAUAAAUAUUGAUUUUGAUGAUAACAAACCACAUGUGUUAGUUAAACAAAGAUUUAUAAAUUGUGCUUUUAUAAUAAGAAAAUGAUUUUAUGGAAUUAAAGUGUUUUGGACCAAAAUAAAAGUAUUUUAUAAUCUUUGAUAUUGUUUUGAAUUUCGGAUUUGGACCUAUUUAAAUAUUUUUGGGCCAUUCUAUAAUUUCACAUAGUUUGGGCGAUAUUCUAAUUUCAAAAAUUUUUGGGAUUGACAAAGUAUUAUUUAGAAAUUCUAAAAUUGGACCUAUUUGAACACUUUCAUAACAUUUUAGGCCAUAAUAUAAUUUUAUAAAGUUUUGGGGUCGAAUUAUAAUUUUGGAAAACAUUUCACUGUAGCAAGCAGAUAUCUGGAUCCUAACAAAUGGUAGACCGGAUUUGGGCAGAAAGCUUCUGGAACUUAAACGGCUAUCCGGAUUUCACAAGCGGUAUACCAGAUGUUCAAAAAUUUAAAUUUUGGCUAUAACGGUAACAUUACGCGGCUAACCGGAUGUCCAUAAAUGGUAAGUUAGUUAUCACCUAAAUGUGCAUAACGGCUAGUUUUUGAGUUCAAACUAUAUAAACCCAAAUCCAAUUCAUUUUCAAGCUCUUUUGCAAACAAAAUCAAAAAGCACACAACAUUCAUUGAGCUCUCAUUUCGCAAAUCAUAAAACCUUGAAUCAUAUUUUGUUCUUCAAUUUGUAUAUCUACUCUUUAAGAGAGUUUUUAUUGUAAUCUUCAAUUCCUCAUCUUAAUUGUGAGUGUUUAAGUGUGUGAGACACUUGAGUGAAGAGAUUGAGAGAUAAUCUCUUUGUUGUAAAGGUUCAUUGACACCUUAAAGUCAAUUGUAACCAUUUGAAGCCUUAGAAGGCUUGCAUAGUGAAAUCAUCAAGCUUGGAUUGCUUGGAGGCGUGGACGUAGCCGGGGAUUGUCGAACCACGUAAAAAUUCGUGUGUUUGUUUCUUUUCUCCCUUACUCAUUUGUUAUUGUACUUUUAUUGAACUUAUUGCUUUCGAAUUUAUUAAGGCGUUAGAUUGGAUUGUUGUGUGGUUUUGUUAGGAUAAUUUUUAAAAAUACCAAUUCACCCCCCUCUUGGGUUGCACACUUGUAUUUCACCUAUAAUAUCAAAUACUGAAUACCAAAAACUAUCACCAAACAAGUACCCGGGGGAAUAAUCUCAUCAUAUUCGGACCUCGACGGACGGGCAAUCAGGGAACCAUCAUACCCCGGAGCUACAACGGAUAGACGGGGAAAUGUCAUCUCAUAUCUCAUGUAUCUCAACAUCUGUAUCUUUGUAAUCAUCAUACUGCAUGCAUAAGCCUCCAAAAGGAAAAAGCGCCCAAACACACAGCCAAAAGCCUCUAUGUGUGUUCAGACGGGCCUCAAAGACCUCUCAUCUCAUAUCAUCUGUAUCAUUGUGUUCAUCUUAUAUUAUCUGUAUCUCUGUGUCUUAAGGGGAAUGAUAUUGUCCAAUGAUUUUCCAAACAACCUUUUAUAAACAUGUACAUAAACAUAUAAUCACAUCUGAAAUCUCAUUUCCUUUUAUUCAACAUAUCUCAAAUCCACUCAAUUCUAAUAUCAUGCAUUUACUCAAAAAAAAAAUGAUAAUAGAAUCAUUAAUCAAACUCAUUUUCAAUACUAAUAAAUAUCAGCACGUAAAAUAAAAAUCAAUUUUCUAGAAAAUCAUUAAAUCGAAGCAUCAAAUACUUAUCAUCAAAACAUGUUGUACUGUAUAGUAAAAUCAUAGUAUACUAUGAAAAUAGGUUUUGUAUAUUCCACUCACAGUGACAAUGUCCAGACUCGGGAUCACCAACGUCCGCAGGUUAAUUCUCGCUCGCGGGUCCUCCUAAUUACAUAAACGACAUAAUUAUUAUCCAUAUCAUGAAAUACGACUAACAGUACGAAAUAAAGCUCAAAACCAAACUCCCGGAUACAUAAAAUUUCAAAAUUACCCUUAUGUCCAAAAAUUACCCAAAUGCCCCUGACACCGAAAUUUACCAAAUUACCAUCAGAAUCAUAAUUUAUCGAAUCAUCCUCAAUAUCUUAAAUUACCAAAUUGUCCUUAAUUCGGAUAACAAAAUUAAUCACAAGUUUUGAAUUUACAAAAUUACCUUCGAAGUACAAAAUUACCAAAAUGUCCUUAAUAACUUAAAUUACCGAAUUACCCUCGAAAUCUCAAAUUACUUCUCUGUCCUAAUCACAAAUUACCAAAUUAUCCACCAUUUUCAUAAAUUACAAAUUUACCCCAAAGUUUUAUGAAAUUACCGAAUUACCCUUGCCGGUCAACGGUGACCUGACUUCAGUCAAUGAUGACGGGAAGCUCAGGUCUAAUAGUUCAGACCUCGGUGAAUCCAACGAUGCUGGCGGUGACCUCCCACGCGCGGCGAUGGUGGCAGAUCGAAGCUCCAAAAUUCGUGAGUUUCCCGGUGUUCGUUCGCGGCCAAGACAGCAUCCCCGGUGAUCGUGGUCAGUUGGAAAGUGAUAAGUGUGAGUUGAGAAACAAGAUCCAGGCAGUGGCGUGGCUAAAAAUCCGACGGGAUCGACGGCGACAGAAACGGGUUGAGUCGCGGCUUUUCGAGCUUCAAACGGCGGCGUUUCGGUCGGCUUUUCUUUGAUUUGUUAUUUUGAGUUGUAUGAAAUAUAGCUUUACUUAUGUUUUUUUUUAUCAUUAAUAGGAAUUUUCUUGUUAAAACUAUAUGAAUUGAUUGAAACUUCAAAUUCAUACUACAACCAUGAUGAUUUAAUAAAACAUUCAAACUAAAUCCACAUAUUCCAUGAGUAAGAACCCUGAGAGCACAUUUAUUCAAGUUUAUGCUUUAAGUAAAAUAAAAGUAGAAAUGAGAAUUUUAAAGAAGAAAUUUAGUUAUAAAUAAUUGUCAAAUAAUUAAUUGUUCAGCAUUUAUUUUAUAGGUCCCACUGUUGGGACUCCAUGUGAUCUGCUAACUGGCAGGCCUUUUGUGGUUAGGCGAACCACAGUAUGCCUGCCCCAUAUAAGUUCCUCUCUUCUCAUAGAUAUAACUAGUGCUAUGUCAUGUCCAACAAGGGCUCUUCGAAACUUUUUAUGUGAAUUUUAAACAUUACCCCAUUACGCUUUUGAAACACCAAAACUACCUCAAAUUUUAAAAAUAUAAAAAAAAAUACAUAUUAAAAGAAUGUUUUAUGUCUUUAGCUUAACAGUUAGCACACGUAUUGUACUCUUGACAUUUUUCUUCUGUAAAUCUUCACUUCUUUUUUCUUUGAUUCUUCACACUCCACUGCUCUUUUAUCUCUAAAAAAUUAAAUUGUCCGUAGAAGCUUACUAUUUAAUUUACUGAUCUAAUUAUUUAGCUCUAAAUAUUUAGAUACGUUUUCUUAAUUAAUUAUCUCUUCUUUAAUUUUUUUGGUAAUUUCUCUUAGAUGAAAGAAUUAAGGUUAUGUCCUAGGAAAAUAUUAACUCUCAUAUUAUAGUGUUGAUAAUGAGGUUAUCCUUGAAUUUUUAACACAUGAAAACACAUCGAGGUAACUAUAAAUUCAUUGAAGGAAAUAUUUUAAUAAAUUUAGAUUUUGGUACAUAUUAUUUGUUGAAUUUUUUUUCUUUCCAAAUUGAACGUAGCCCUUAUGAUAUUCAGUUCGUGAUGGUGCCACUAAAUGUAAAGUGUCGAACUAGAUCAUAUUUCUCCCUUAUGCAAACUCCAUCGUUUAUUUAUAUUUCAAUUUUGUGGCCUAUUGUCGAGUUUUCUAGUUUCACAGAGGGCAUCUUGGAUUUCUCUACGUGGUCCAUAGUCUCUAGUCCAAAUGAAGAAAUCGAAUUCACCAUGUACAUUAGUGUUUUUUUUCUUUUUUCUUUUUGGGCGGGGGGGGAAUUUUUUUAUUGGCACAGGAAGAAAGCUCUUCGGCACUACUCGGAAGAAGAAUAUGAGCAACACAUGGUCCAAUUCGCAUUGUAUGGAAGUAAAACCGAAGCAUUAGACCAAAAGCAAACCUUAUUCAUAUUUUUAGUUACUGAUAACAAUUUCUUUCCCCUCUUAUUAUCAUCUUAAUUAAGAAAUAUAGUAAUUCGUUAACUUUUUGGGAAAUUAAAAAGGAUGGCAAUAUACAAUAUUCUUGUGUUGAUGACCUUAAAAGCUAAUUCCCUUGAAACAGGAAAACUGGUAUCGUUUUUCAAAGCACAUAAAUGAUAUAUCCCAGCUUUCAAUGUGAUCGAAAGAUUUCAUAGCCACACUCGAAAUUAAUAAAUGAUCCCUAAGAAUUCGUUAACUUCAAGAGUUUAUAGAACAUUAAUUGAUCCAAAUCCAAUACAAACUGCUUACUAGUACAGCUGCAAGAGAGCCAUUUUUUUUCAGUAGGCAUAUUAAACAACUGCAGCAGUCACUAGAAAGCUAGUAUAGACCAAUUGUUCAUCUACCAACCAAUUGUGAAAUUGUUACAUCAUUACUUGAACAUAUUUCCCAUCCAAUCGUGGCUUUAUUUUGUUCGUCUUCAUAAGCUUUGUUUAAGAAAUCGGAGUCCAUUCGAUGAGUCUAUCAGCAUUCUUUAACUAAUUAUUAGAUUAAAUGUAUAAAUUUAAAACUAGUAAAAGUUUAGACUAUGAAAGAACCUUGAUUCAUUCAAGAAAUAAUUAAAAUUUUAAUCCUUUUCAAACUGGUUAAUAUUAACCUUAUCAUUAUGCGAAAACACAAUUUAAAAGAAAAAUAAAAUAAAAUAAAAAUCUCACAAAGUUGGUGUGUGGAAUAGUCAAUACGUUGUCCUUGAUUUUUUAUUUUUUAUUUUUUACAAACCCUUAAAGAGUCUAUAGAUGUAGUUAGUGAUAUUACAUUACAUUAAUUGAUCCAAAUCCAAUACAAACUGCUUACCAGUACAGCCUCAAGAGAGUCAUUUAUUAUUCAAUUGGCAAAUUAAACAACUGCAGUAGUCACUAGCAGCUUGCCAAGAGCUAUAGCGUAGAUCAAUUGUUCAUCUACCAACCAAUUGUGAAAUUGUUACAUCAUUACUUGAACAAAUUUCCAAUCCAAUCGUGGCUUUCCUUUGUUCAUCUUCGUAAGCUUGCUUUGAGAAAGUUGCAGGCUUCUUUGGAGUCAUUAUAUCAGCCGUGCUCUCAUUUUCGAGCAUCGAAGAAACUUCCAGCAUAGAAGGUCUAUCGUCUGGGUUCUCCUGAACACACAACAGAGCUAUUUGCAGACAUGUUAGCAAUUUCCACGAGGAAUGCGUAUCAUCUAGUGAUGUAUCCAUUAACCCCAUGCCUUUCCCAUCUUUCCACAGCUCAUAAGCCUGUAAAUAUCGAAUAUGUUAUUGAGUUACAUUCAAUUAAUUAGCACUAUAAAGUUUUGAUCCAGUGUGCAUUAUAAAGGGGGUUAUGAAGAAACUUACAUACUGUACAAGGCUUAAAUUUUCAUUCUGGCCAGAUUGAACGAACAAUCUUCUUCCACUUAUAAUUUGCAAAAGUAAAACCCCAAAACUGUAGACAUCAGAUUUGGUGGAGUAGAUGCCUCUCGUCACAUACUCAGGAGGGAUAUAGCCACUGUUGUACCAAGUACUUACAAAUAUCAGUUAAAUUGUUUGACCUAAAAGGUUAAGCUGAUUGGUAAAGGCUCAACAAUAGUAUUAAAGACAAGUCGAAAAAUAGACGUAUAUACACUUACUGUGUUCCAACAAUUCGACUGGUGUUUGCUUCAAGGUCGUCUUUCACAAAAAUUCUAGCUAAGCCAAAAUCUGAUAUUUUAGGCUUCAUAUUUUCAUCCAAUAAAACAUUACUAGCUUUCAAGUCUCGAUGAAUAAUUGUUAAUCUAGAAUAUUCUUGAAGAUAAAGAAGCCCUUGAGUUAUUCCUUGAAUGAUAUGAAUGCGUUUUUUCCAAUCCAAAAUAAACCUUCGGAUGGGAUCUACAUCAAAUAUAAGUAUAGUUGGACGGUCAGUAGCACUAGCAUUUGGAGAUGAGAAAGCAAAUGGAGGCACAUAAAUUAAGAAUUAAGCAGAAGCACAUACCAAAAAGGAAAUAGUCUAAGCUUUGUUUUGGCAUGUACUCGUAGAUCAGCAUUUGUUCUUCUCUGUCAAUGCAAAAACCUAAAACCUUAAUAAGAUUUACAUGUUGGAGUUUUGCAGUAAGCAUAACCUCAUUCUUGAACUCCUCAAAUCCUUGUUUGGAUGUCUUUGAGAGUUUCUUCACUGCUAUUACCUGUCCAUCAGGUAAUACACCCUGCAAACACCCCCAAAACAUUAAAAAGGAAAAAAAAAUGCAAUGUUCAUAUACAUAUGUGUGUGUGUGUAUUUCGCUAAUUAAUUAAUAAGAUGAGAGAUAGCCAAGCUAUCGAUAUAUAACCUUGUAAACAGGGCCAUAUCCACCCUCCCCGAGCUUAUUUUCAAUUGAAAAUCUAUCCGUGGCCACCUCAAUAUCAGCCAAGCUAUAUUCUCUAAGAUCAGGAUCAUUGCUGUUAAAAUCUCCAGCAUGUGCUUGACUGUUUGCUCCGUCCUUUGAUGACUUGGCUGAGUCAAUUACUAUUCCAAUUAAUAUCAACCAAGGAAAAAAAAGAAAAAGAAAAAGAAAAAAGCUAAUUUAAGUAAAUUGCCCACUUCUUCAGCUGUGCUAAAUAGAAUAGAAGUAAAAAUAAUCCUAAACCCCUGUAGAAGAAGUUACCUUUUAAUUUGAGGUUUUUCAUCCAGCAGUAGUAAUACAGCCAAAAACCUAGUAGAAGAAUACAAGCUGCAGUGGUAGUCAAAACAACUACCCAUAACAGUCGCUUAUUUUGACCACUCUUGUCAUCCUCUUCAGCUGAAAAGUCAAUCACUUUGCGUUGGUUAACCAUUGAUGCUGAAAUAAAGAUCUUAAUUCAAGUCAUUAUCCAGAAAAGUGAUCAACGGAUUGCAGUGAGUGCGGAAUUCCAUUUGCUUACCUGCAGCUUGAGAAAGCAUCCAAUCAUGAUCAUAGGAAACUAGCCACACAUGGUAUCCGCGUAGCUUCUUCUCCUUGGCAUAUGCAACCUUCACUCUAAUGGCCUCCACAUCAUCAAAACCAAACCAAAUCUUCCCAAUCGAGCAGUAGUUCACCACAUAAGUUGAAUUGUAAAUAACUUGGACAUUAGGACCAUAUCUCUUGAUGUGAUUCUUGAUUUCCCUAUAACUCACAAGACCAUCUUCACUCAAAGCUGGUCCCGUUGCUGCUGCACCAAUACCAUUGUCCUCAGGUUUCACAAGCGUCCAUGCAUAGCCAUAGAAAGGCAAACAUAAAACCAAUUUAUCAGCCGAUAACCCUUCGUCAAUCCAUUCCGUGAUUCCGUAUUCAGUAUUAGAGACACUAUUUGGAUCAUACAGAGCCGCAUGAGCACCAGUAAA